UCCAACACACUGCAUAAUAAAUAUAGUAAUUCAUGAAAAAUAGGUUUAUAAAUAGCUCUUGAACUUGCAAUCAAUAUUUUCCAAAGGAAACAUCUUAAUAAUCAGUGUGUCAGUCGCAAAAAUAAGUAACUUGGAAAUUUUGUUUCAUUACUAUGUUAGAUAGUUUGAAGUAGAAUCUACUUCAGGUUCAGAAGCGAGGCUACAAUUUCAUCAUCAUCCUCCAAACCCACUUGUUUAUGGAGCUUUUACGCCUUUGUCAUGAGGUGAAUGUACCAAUAUCUCAUACCCUUCACCGGAUGUUUCUUAACCAGAAGCUCAUAGCCAUAGCUAGAAUACACUUCAGGUUCAGUAGCCAAACUUCAAUUUCAUCAUCAUCCUCAAGUCAACCUGUAUACGGUGCUUCUAUGUCUUCGUCAUGAGGUGAAUGUACCAAUAUCUCAUACCCAUCACUGGAUGUUUCUUAACCAGAAACUCAUUUCUGUAAGCCUCCCUAAGCACAACAGUCUGAGUCCUAAUCUUAUUACAGAUGUAAAAUAUACCAGGAUGAUGAACCAAAGCCUUCUUAAAUCUCGAGCCCAACCCCAAACACUCUCCAUAACAAAUCAAAUUUUCUCUUUCUGUCUUCUUUGACACUAAAAGAGAAAGCAACUCAUGCAAAAUUGCCACUGUCCACUUCUCUGCCUGGUCACUAUUCGAGUCAAGAUGAAAUGCAUUUUCGUAUGGAGAAAUGUAAGGCAAUGUUUGCCAACCCUCAACCCAAGUUUUCACCCUUUUCUCUAACGCAAAGCUUGUGGGCAAAAACAUGGGAAAUGCAAUAUCGUUUCUUCUUUUAUCUGCACCAUAGUUCAAGCUCAUUACCCUCUUCUCUAACUCAGACACGGCAAGAUCUUUUCUCCAAGAAACAAGUUCUAAAGCAAGCACUUCUUCCCCAGACGAUGGAUCUUUUACCACACAAACAUCAAAAUAAUCAGGGUAAUAAGCCAAAAGAGUUGUAACAUAAUCAUAAGGAAGACCCAUAUCCCAUUUUAGCUUCUCAAUUACAUAAAUCGGCAAUCUCGCCAUGCCAGCAAGCAUUAGAAGCCUUGCCAACCUCCGAGCAGUCUCUUCACGGUUAGUGGGAGAAUUAUGUACUUCCAUCUCUUCUUUAUGGAGCGAUAAAGCUUGAGUAGUGAGCUUGACGCGUGGGGGGAGACCAGGACUCGGUUGGAAUUGAGAGAAAACAUGACGAUAUUUCUCAACGAAUUUGAUAGUUGUCAUAGGAAGGUCGAGCGAAGAUUUCAACAUAGAGGCAUUGUAGAUGGAUAAGGAUUUGGAAGGAGACGAAACAAUAUGGUUCUUGAGAGAAAUUACGUGUUUGAGAUUUUUCUCUUUGAGAACUGCAGUGUCAAGAUCGGGAUCUCGAACCCAUUUAACCCUCGCAUUCACGAAAGUCCUAAUGUGGUUGAACUGGUGAUAGAGUUUGGAGGAACGAGCCAUUAACAACCAGCUCACUACCCUGUAAAGUGGAAACACUCUGUCAUAGGGUAGAAAUUCUUUUCUAGACUAAAACUAUAUAACUUUUGUAUACAGAUACUAUAAAACUACUCAGAUCAGUUAUCUACUUGGUCUUAGCAUUAGAGUUGAAACCAUAUGUGAAUUUAAAAUAUUCAAAACUAUUAAAUCACACCGUUGCAAAUUACUGAAAAAAAUCAUAUUAUAAUAAUACUUUAAAACCCUAAAAGAAAAAUCAGAACACGAUUAUAUGGUACGCUAUCGCGACGGAAUUAGAUCCUCGGGUGCUAUAUGAAAUUGGAAAAUCUGGACUCACUGUUUCUGGCGGCCGACGACGGGAUGCGCCUACGAUUUCCUGCCGGAUUUAACUGAAUUUGGCGAGUUGAGAUCAGUGCGAGGAAUGGAACUGCAUUUUUGUUGUUUUGGUAGAGCGGUGGAGUUUCGUUCUUGCAAGUUGCGAUAAAUGACACUCUUUGAAGGAGAAGAAAGCAUACUUGUUUUUUAUAUUUAAUUCUCAAACUUCAGUGUUCAAUUUUGCUUAAAAACCCAAUUUUCAGUUCAUUUUACUUUAUGGUCUUGUAUUGCUAAAAACAUUCUUAGUAGAGGGUUGCAAAAGAGUAUAUGUAUCCACGUUUUUUUUUGUAUUUCUGAUAUCCUUCUUCAAUUAUGAAGAUCGGUAUUUAUAGAUGUUCUUUUGGAUUUGGGACUAUUAUGUUAAAGAAAGAUAUGAGUAGUGGAAAAUUAUUUUUUUCAUAGAAUAAAUAUUGAACACAAUGUCAUAAAUAAUAUGUACCACAUAAAACAAUUUAUAAUAUAGUAGGAAUAUAAUACAUAAAGUCAUAAAUAAAACAAGAGAAUUGUUAACUCAUAUCAAUGCAAUAUCAAUAUCUUAUAUAUUUGGGGGUUUUAAACUUUAGAAAAAAAAAACUCACUCAUAGUAGUAAUAGUAUAAUUAAUCUUAGAUGAAUAAACCUUAUUCAAUGUCUAUUUUCUAAUAUUACCCGUGUCUUUCUAUUUAGGACUUCUCUUAAAUAUGAGAAUAUUUUUCACUUUCUCUCCGUCACUAUCCUAUUGAUCAAUGUUUUCAAAAGAUUAAAGAUGUUGAAUUGCAACUCAACUAACAAUCUACCUCUAUGUCUUGAAUAUUUAGUUUAGACUUCUUUAGAGGUUUACAACGAACAAUAAGAAUACAAAGACUCAAAGAAAAAAACUUUAUGGUGUAUGCUUGUAUGCAUGCUUCUCUAGAGGUUUACAAAGACUUUUCUAAAGAUGAGAGUCUUCUUAAAUAGCAAGUCUUCUGCUGGACUUGGACAAUGAAUUCAAUGCAACCAGAUUUGAUUUGAGGACAUUUUACCUGGUACCCCAACAAUUGUACCCAUACCCCUACAAUUAAUUUUUUUGGACCAAAAUACCCUCAUAUAAAUAGGGUAUAUUUUUCAAAAAUGAAAGUUUUUUUCAUUUGCGCUUGAAAACUUCCGGAAGAUAGACACAAAUAUGGUAUCUAUAUUUGUGGAAAUAUGACAUCUAGAGACAUCUUCAUUUCACAUGUCGUUUGGUGAAAUGAGCAUUACUUUGGAUGACGUCUCAUGUCUGCUUCACUUGCCCAUCAGGGGUGUCUUCUGGAGUCCUCAGGAUGUCAAUGAAGAGAUUGUUGUUGAACUUGCUGUUGACUACUUAGGAGUGUCACAUGGUGAGGCACAAUCACAUGUUCGUAGCUACAGAGGUUCUUAUAAUAAAUUGGAGUGGUUAUACGAUUUAUUCGUACAACAUAAAGCCGCUUCUAGUUGGGCAUAUGCGACUAGAGCAUAUUUGUUGAUGUUGGUGGGUUCCACAAUUUUUGCCGACAAGACCUUUACACUUGUAGAGGCAUGAUAUCUCCUACUGUUUACGGACUUAGAUAGAUGUUCGAGAUAUAGUUAGGGAGCAGCUGCAUUGGUUAUCCUAUACAGAUACCUUAGAGAUGCGUCCAUGUUUAGUUGCAAGCAGCUCGAUGGAUAUCCUACUCUCCUACAGGUAUAUAAUUUAAUUUUGUUUAUUAAGUGUUGAAUUCAUUUUAUAAAGUAUGUUAACUUAAUUUAUUUUGUUUAUUAUGUUUUUAUUUUGUACCAGUGAUGGAUUCACGAGUACUUUUCAACUAUUGAAAAAAGAGGAGAGAAUUGGAAACCAGCUGAUAAUUGUGGUCUUCCUCGAAGGAUGAGAUGGUCCUAUAGGCAAGGAGUCCUGAAGGUGGAUGAUUUACGACCUAUUUUGGACGAGCUGACACCUACCGACGUCAUAUGGCGUCCAUUUGAGGAUUAUAGAGGAUGACGUCAAUUUGAUGAGUUAUGUCUUUACAGGGGGUGUUUGAAGUGGGGUGACACAGUUGUUCCAUACUUGCCUGACAAAUGUUUACGUCAGUUCGGGUACAAGCAGUAUGUUCAAUCCCCACCUCUUGAUUGUACGAUGGCUACUGAUAUUGAUGUUGAUUGGAUUGGUUACCAUCAUAGCAUUAUUGUUGUGAUCCGUCCAACUACCCUGACCACCACUCCAUCUGAUAUAGAAGAUGGUUAUCUAGAGUGGUAUUAUUGUGUUUCGCAUUCACGUUUGGUCCAUCCCCAUCGUGACGAACCAAGAGAGGUACCAGUUGUUGUUUAUGACACAGGACCAUCUGAUCCUAAUUAGGCUCGUGUAUCUACAUUGAGUCAUCGUUAUCUGAGACAAGUUAAUGCCGAAGAGGAAGAUCCAUAUUUUGCUGAUUUAUUUGAAGCUUUGCAUAUUUCUCGCUCGCAUUGAUUUAUGUAUUAAGUUUUAGAACUGAAUAUAAUAGACAUAAUAUAAUAUUCAUGUUUUGAUUAUUAUCCAUGCUAAUAUAGGCGUAAGUAAUUGCCAAUGUUGUAGGCAUCCUGCAAAUCCUAACAUCCAAGACGUUGCUGCUUGACAACGAAACUUCUUCCAAUCUAAUGUGACCGGUGGCAAUGGAAAUCCCUCUUUCAUGUUAACCUGAUAACAAUAAUUAAAACAUAUAUUUAAUAAAGUGAAAUAGUUAAAACAGUAAGUCAUAUAAAAUCAAAUAUGUACCUGAACCUAAUGAUUUUGGUUAACAAAAUCAAUGCAAUAAAUGGAGACAUUUGGUGAAUGUGAACUUGUCAUGGGAAAGAAAGUCAUGCACGGAUUGCCUAAACAGACAAGUACAACAUUAUAGCGAUUCGCUAUCAAGUAACCUAUAUCUGGUAGAGUCAACCAUUUUUCUGGUGGUUGUGAACCAAAUGAUUCUAUCAUCAAAUGUUCUCUCACUUCUAACAACCGAUUACAAAAUAACUUGUCAUACAAAGUUGACCUAUCCUUGUCUAUGGGUAUCGGUAUACCACCUAGUGCAUAUCUUCCUAACUCACAAGCACAAGGUAACCCAUAAGAUGUUUUAAGAGUACAACCACAUAUUUGCAUGUUAGUUUCAACAUAAUCAACUCUCAAUAACUCUUCAGCAAUACGUCUCAAAGCAGCUCGAGACACUGAACCACGCAAAUUACCAUAAAAUAGACUUAUGUGCGCGUACUCAACUUUGUAAAAACGUUUUUGAAAAGAAGCUCUAAUGUUACCCAGUUGUAAUCUCAAGUUGUUAUUCAUAGCUUCCCAACAUUUGACUAUGUCACCUAUACUGUUUCAUAACAUCUGUUUUAACUUCCAAUGAGCAGAUUCAACCCUAAAAAUAACAUAUUGAAAAUAUUAAAAAUAUCACAUAUAAAAAAAUACAUAUAAAAAAUUAUAACACGUACCGAUUAGUCGUCGUGUUACCCAAAUGUAGCACUCGAUUAAUCCAUGCUCCAACAAAUCUAUGUCUAUAUGGAGUCAACCAUGUGCCUUUCACAUAAUUAAUAAAUCCACUAUAAUCAACACAUGCCUACUCAAGUUGACGCAACCGCUGACCAUACUCAACCUCAUCACUAUCCCAAACAACUUCCAUCCAUAAUGUGUCUAUCGUCUUUUGCAGGUCAUUCACCACGUGUUGUUUGCAUUUUGCACCAACGUUUUUGUUAAUGUGAAAUCUAUAUAGCAAAUUAAUCGACCUGGGAAACACAAUUUCAAUUGCUUUCAUCAAAGCAAGAUCUCUAUUUGUCAAAAUCACGUGUGGACACAAAUCUUUCUUCACAAACAAUUCUUUAAGUUUCUCUAAUACCCAGCAAAAAUUCUUUGUCUGCUUAGACUCCAUAUACGCAAAUGCAACAGCAAAAGUCAACUCGGUUGAUGUCAUGCCAACAAUUUCAAACAAAGGUUGCCUAUAUUUGUUUGUCUUGUAGGUGUUAUCCAUAACUAACACAAUAGGAAAAAUAUUCAACAACUUAACUGAAUCAGGAUGGGCCCAAAAUAUCUCUCCCACAACUUCCGAAUCAUCCUUUUUUCUACUCCAAUACACAUAGCCUACAUCCUCAAUAAGCUUAAACAAAUAUUGUAUAUCACUUCUAGGAUCUCUUAUCUCGUUUUGUAUCACACUCUUAUGCUUGUAUAUUUGCGUAAUCCGAGUGACAUUCUCUGGAUCUUGGUCUUACAAGGAAAGCAAUAUGUGUCUAGGUGGUACAUGUCUCCUUGUCAAAUCAGCGACAUGUUGCUUCUCAUCUGUGGUCAACCUACCAACAAAGGAAUGACAUUCUAAUCUAUCAGGUAAACCAUGAUUAUGGAACCCACAUUUUACAUAAAUCUUCCAACCAGACCCAUCUUUCGCGGGAGUUGACCUAAUUUUAAAUGGGCAUCCAUAUUUCUUGGACACACUUUGGGUUCCACUAUCAGUAUCCUUGUGUUUCCCACCUUUAUCACAACCAAAUAUUAAUUUGUUACUUCUCCCUCUCUUGCCUAUUUCAGUAUCUGAACGAGUGAUAAUAACGGUUACUUUGUUAUCGAUUCCAACCUCUUUAAUCCAUUUGAUCACCUCUUCUCGUGUACCAAAUCUUCCAGUCGUUAAAAACGCAUCAGAAGUAUCUACACAUAUUUGGGGAAGAUUUUCCAUUCAUGUACAAUAAAAAAAUGUCAACAAAAAAAAGUUUAAAAAAAAAGCAAACCGAAAGUCUUCAAAGAAGAGUUCCGGAAUACAUAAAAAUAAUACCGGAAGACUUCAAGGAAGAGUUCCGGUAUGUGUCACUAUGUUAACCGAAACUCUUUUGAUAAGUGUUCCGGAAUGUUUUUUUUAAAAAGAGUCGUAACUCUUUCAAUAAGUCUUUCGAUUUACUGUUUGUAGUGUUCCAGAUGUCUUUUUCAAAGUCUUCCGGUUUGAAAAAAAUACAUACCGGAAGUCUUUUUCCAGGAGUUCCGGUACGAGGAUGGAAUGUGUAAUUUUCGGAAGUAUCAUCUGAAUGGUAAAAAUGAAAUAGUAAAUUGGUUAAAAACAAUUAAGGGUAAAAUUUGUAUCUUUAAAAAAUUGUUGGGGUAUGAGUCUAAGUGUAGGGGUAUGGAGUAAAAUUUUCUUGGUUUGAUGCUAAUUUAAAACAGAUGCAGAUUUGAUUUUCUUAUUCAUUAAUGUUCACUAAGAGAUUUGAUCUCAUUCAAUUUGAUUUGGUCUUGGACAAUCUUUUAGUCCAUCUUCCUUAAAUUCAUAAUGCUAAAAGAUACAAAACAUAAAUGACAAAUCUUCUUGGAGUCAAUCAAAGCACGUCCAAACAUACUCACUUAAUUUAUUGUCCAUACUGAGGACAUAUGUUGUACACGUGUUGGGUCAUCUUGUCCCACAUGUUGCCUCUUCACAAAUUCAUCUUGUUUUUCCCGUGUUGUUUUAGCUAAAGUAGCCAACAAAGGAACAAAAAUCUCCUCUUUUGAUAAUUUUUUGCUAAAACAACUUACAACGUUUCUACAAGAUGUGCAGGAGUAAAUCAAAACAAUUCUCAUUCAGGAGAAUACACACAUACACAUAUAUCUGAGUAUACAACAAUAGCAAGAUACAUCAAACAAGCUCACAUAGUUGAAGGUUAGAUGUCAAAUCUGAUGUUUCAGCAUAUGAGCACACAACUAUUAAAAUAGAGCACAAAGUAGCACUUCACAUCCAGAACUUACGCAACAGCAGAAGAUAACACACAUAACAUGCAAGGCUUACAACACAAGCAUGCAUGCAAGCACACACCAUUACUCCUAUUUUUUGCCAUAAUUUAGAAAAGGUUAGACAAAGAAAACCAGAGCAUCACAAAAUCAUAAGUUGAGUACUAAAUCAUGAUUAUAAUGCAAGAGGUUCAUUAUUAAAGGAUCAUUACAGAACCACAAAAAAACACGCCCAUAUACAAGAGCCAAAAUACCAUAACAUCAUUCUUUAAAAUAGUUGUCUUCAGAAGCAGCACAACCAACUCCAGCUUGAUGACCUCAACCUUCAGAGCUUGAUUCUUAUUCUUCAAUUGAGGAUUAUGAACUUCCAGCUCCCUAUUCUUCCUCAUCAUCCUCUUCUUUGGACAUCAUUUUAAUCAGCCUAUCCAUAUUUUUCUUUCUUAAGGUGCUUGAUCUGAUAGUUUCUUCAAGGAAUUUUGAUACUUCCUUGAGUUCAAGCAGUAUAUCCUUCUUGGUGGUUUUGGAUAAAGGGAGAAAAUUUACAUCACCAACUUUAUCUUAAUUUCUUGACACCACAAUGUUUGGAACAUGUGUUUCGACAAACAACCUAUAAUUAAGAGUUAGUGGCACUUCCUUUUUACUUUUCAUUUCUUCAGUAUGCACAAUAUUAGGGUGUUUCUUCAAGAUAAUUCCAAUUAUCAACCAAGGAAAAGCUACGGGAAGCUUCACAACAUAGAAAUUCAUAUGUUUCAUGGUUUGGUCAAACGCAUACUCUCUAAAUUUUAGCUUAGACUUGGUUCCUAUUUGAAAGAUCAUUUUAGCCAAGGCAAAAGUGGUGCCUGAACUAUGAUUUAUGGGUGCCCAAUUGGUUGCACCUAUCCUGUUUAGUACUGCAUAAUUCACACUUAGGAUUCUAGAAGGGAGUAUGUCUUUCUUUGGCCAUUGCUUGACUUGUCCAACAGUUAUUUCUGAAGUUAUCUUGUCCAUAGAUGAUACAUCAUCAGAAUCUGCAGACUUGUUUCUUCCUAAAUACUCAUUUAUGAUUUCAAGUGAGAAUUUCACACAAUAACCUCUUACAAAAACCUUCCUAAAUUAUUUUCUUCCUUCAACCUUGCAUUCAUUAGAUAUGUUUAUAAUGAACUCCUUGACCAAUUUCUCAUAAGAAAGACUAAUGUUUGACACAAGCUUCAUUAGUCCAACAUCAUUCAGCAAAUCUACAAUUUCUUGACAAUCAAGAGCUUCUUUGCUAAGCUUUAUUUCAUAAGCAAUUCUUCUCUUAAACAUAUACUUCCAUUUCUUCACACUUGCUUCUGAGUGGAAGGAUACAUUAUCCAAAGGAACAACUGGAAUAUUAACAUGAAUUCUUUUUCCUCUAAUCUUUCUCCUAUAAGAGAUCACAAUGUCCAAGACAUUUGGUUCAUCAUUUGUCUCAGAGUCACUUGUUUGCAUAAAUUAUCUAUUUAAAUACUUCUCCUUAGUAACCUUUCCCUCUACUUUCCUCUUUUUCAUGGGAUUUUCUUUAGGAGUCUUUUAUUUUGCCUUCUUAGCAGACUUAUGAAUUGCUUAUUCUUGUCUUUGACUCUAUCAUGUACAGAUUUAACAAUCCUUCUCAUCACAGCCACAAUACGUUCUUCAUUAGUUUUAGUUUCUUCAUCAAUAUUUACCACAUGUUUAUCUAUAUUUUUCUCUUGAGACUUUGUAAAUUUUUCAAUAAUCCUCUUCAUGAUAUUGGGGCAAUGGGAAUAUCAUCACCCUUAUUGUCUUUAUCAUUAUAUUUACUUUUCUUACUUUUAGCCUCAACCUCUACAUGAUGAGGUUCCGUACCACUCAAAUCUUUAGAUGAAGUAUCAUCCAGACGGGUAUUGUAAUGUUAUAUUUGCAAAUAACCUUGCUUAGGACGACAACUUGGGACUGCCCUAGGAAAGGGGUGACGACGCAAGGCUUCCCGAAGGGAGGUACCACCUCGCCCUCUACAUUUUCCUCGCCCCUGGGAGAAUAAACAUGGGAUAAUACAUGUCUGGGAUAAUGGGAAAGUCAAGAUAGUUACUAACCCAUGUAUCCCUUUAAAAUAAGAAUUCAAUAGUCCAUCUUUUGACUAGGUGGGCGGCGAACUUUUCCAAGAAAGCCCCAGGAAUAAGGAAUCCUUAUAAAUACCUCAUCCCUCAAACGGAUAAAUACUCAAGUGAUACACACUUACUAUGACUCAACAUUACUUAGAGAGCACUCCACUCCGAGUAACCCUAACAACAUCAUUCUAACCACCUACCUACAACCUAGUCGUGUUGGUUGCCAGCAGGGCAUCUCACCUCAUGCGAGUUGGUACUUUAAAUAGCCUCAAAAACCACCGUACAUGGAAACUUGCCACUGUGAGAUAGACAUCAUCUCACUCGUGUAAUAUACCUACUAGCGCCUCUGAGUUUCCCUAUCCUUGCAGGGGGAGCACGCACACACAUGUACAUUUUUAGACAAUAUAAGUAUCAAACACAGGAAUAUCCAUAGUUGGUUCAGUAGGGGGUUCAGUUUGUGGUUCAUCAGAUGUUGAAACAUAUGUUUCAUCAUUUGGUUCAACAUAUGGAUCAACAUGUGAUUCAACAUGUGGUUUCACAUGUGGUUCCUCAAGAGUGAAUUCAACAUGAUUAAUGAUUUUCCCAAUGAGGUUGGAAUCAAAUUUCGUAGCAACAUGCAUAAGUGGUUUCUUUUCAGAGGUACUAACCUUUUCAGAUGAUUUCUUCUUCUUUGUGGCAACACUCUUUGAUCUACUUGUUAAAUUGUCAACUGAAACAACCAUUUAUAGUAGUACAUGGUUGAGAAUCAUAUCACGUUCAUCGAUAUUGUUGUUUGAUCUAGAAAUCCUAGAUGUCUUCUUUGUAGAAAUUUAUCUCAUAUCUUGACUCCAAACAUCUUAACCCCAUAAGAAUUUAUAAUUGCCUUUGGUUCAUAUGAAUUAGCAUCAUUAGAUCUUUGGCUCAUUUUUGAAUGUGUGUGAAGAACUUGAGAGUGAGGGAGAUAAAUGUUUUUUUAGAGAGAGAGUGGGGGGAGAGAAAGAGAGAAGGUUCACGAGGUGGGCAAGAGUGAAUAAUUUGAAAGGGAAAUUUGAACUAUGUAUGAUUAGUUUAAAGUCACAUGUUCCAUAUAUUUCUAAAGUAGUGUCGAGUUCUAACUCCCUUAAUUUGGAAAACAAAAGUCAUAUGAUUACAUAUAUUUCUAAGGGAGUUUCGAAUUGUAACUCCCUUAGAAAUAUCUCCAAUGACAUUAUGAAUUGGAUGACCUUUAGUAGUCCUCCACUCUAUGGUAGGUCUUAAUUUUCUAGGUUUGCUUCUUCAGCUUGAGUCUCUUCAUUUAUACUUUGAUUUUAUUUUUGACCUUGAUCUUGAUCAGCAUCUUAUAAAGAUAUUUUUCUCAAGGAUACAUGCACAGUCAAUGACUUUUACCUCUAUAAAAAAGGGGGAAAACUCCAUAAAGAUAAAAUGAACUUUUCUAUCGUCAAAUUUUUCUUAUUUUUUUAAUCAAAUCACUAAUACAUAUAUCUAUUUAUUUUAUUUUAUUUCUCAUAUAUAAAAUAUUAUUAUUCAAUAUUAUCAUAUUAAAAUACUAUAAUUUUUAUAAACAAUUAAAAUGCUAACAUUAAAAUAUAUUACCAAUAUUUUAUAUCAAUCUUAUAAAAUUAUCACAUCUUAGAAAAUACUUAUAUAAGAGAAACUAAUCAAAUGUCACUGUAGCGGUGUAUUCGUCGCUAUAUGAUUUAUUGGUUAAACCAUCAGCAAAGUAUACAAUGAAUUCGAGUCGCCACCGCACUUUUAUUUAUCCUAAGGACUGGUUAAAAAGCGAACAAAAACCUAAGAAGUUUUACACGUAGAAAACCAAUAAAAGAUCAGAGAGUCUGGUAAGGGGUAAUUACGCAAUGGGAAGGUGUUAGGCACCUCCGUCCUAGGUACUCCCUAGGGGCCUUUUCCCACUUGUGUAUAAAAAUGUUUAUUUUGUUCUUGAUAUUGUGCAAACAUGAAUGAGAUGAUGAGAAAAGAAUGUACAGUUGAGUUAUUUUUGUGUUCACGAUGAACCGUUGCCUACGUUACCUUCCAUCAAAGGUAAGGAUCAUAUAGCCCGUAUUCGGCUAAAAGAUUUCCAAACAUGUGAGUUUUAUCCACGGGAGAAAACUCAACCUUAUGAAACAACAAGUCCACCAUGUGAGAAAAGCUUCCACUUGCUAGUGAGGGGUUAACCCUAUAAUAAGCAAGGAAGACUUACAAUUCAAUCAACUAAGGACUAAUAGGUGAGAUUAACAUCAACCAAUUAGGAUAAAUCAAACCUACGGCUAAUGUAUGAAAACUUAACAAGCAUGGACAAAGCCACAAAACAAUUGAAUGAGUUGGAUUAAUGGAUUAUGAUUAUUCACAAAAGGAUGGUCAAAGUAUGAUUAGAUUGAUUCAAUGAAGUGUUAUGAAAAGGAGUUUGAAAAGUCAAGGACUUAGGGUCCAAGUUUCUAAUUUGAAAAGAGGAUGAGAAUGUUUGCACAACAUGCAUUCACAAGUUUGAAAAAUCAACAAGUGAAAAGGGAUUUUGAAACAAAAAGGGUGUGGAUGGAGAAGUGUAAAACUUCCUAGAAGUUCACCUCUUGAAAUCAUAUAGAAGAUGAUUCAAGUGUGUCCUUAGGAAUGGGGCAACAAAUGCAAGUAAGCAAAAUAAGGUGAUACCGGAUGCCAUCAAUGGUCUUAUACCAAUCUCACAAACAAAAGCGGAUGUCGGAUACCAAUAACUGGGUUUACACCAACCUCCUAAAACAAAACAAUGAUACCGGAUGCCAUCAAUGGUCUUAUACCAAUCUCACAAAGCAAAAAGCGGAUGUCGGAUACCAAUAAUUGGGUUUACACCAACCUCCUAAAGUAAAACAAAACUUGGAUGUCGGAUGCCAAUCUAUCUGGACUUAUACUAACCUCCAAAGUAUGGUCAUAGGAAUACAAAUGCCACAUCACAGGGACUUACAAUUGCAUCCUCUCAUACAACAAACAAGAGCAAAGAAGAUAUGAGUGACCAAUGAGGUCUUACACUCUAUCCUUCCAUAUCAUGGUGGCAAUGCCAAUUCAACAUGGACUUACAUUGUCCUCAAUGGGCAAACAAACAUGAUCACAAGGAUUGCAUAUGAAUCAUACAAGAAUUAACAAUCACUAAUGAUGAAUGGACAAUGGCAAGUAAGCAAUCAUGUUCUAAUGAAUCAAAUAUCAAUCCAACAAUUCAAGUAGCACACACUAUACAACACAAUUGGCUCAAUCAAAGGUUUGACUUAAAAGUCCACUGGGAAUGGUGAAUGGCGUCUAACCUUGACAUGAGAGCAAGGUGAAGCAGAUGAAAGGAUAUGAUGGGUGUGCCUCAUCACUCUUAUCCCUGGUCAGAGAGAGUAUUGAAAUAUCAGAAGGUGUGGAGUUCAGAAAGAUGGAACUCUCUCCACAAGUUAGACUCGAUAGAUCUUGGGUAUUUACUCACUAUGCUCAAACACAGUGGUUGAGCAAGGUGAGUGACUCACAAUAGUAGGAGAUAGGCUACAUAUCUCUUUUGUCUACCAAUUGCCUCAUAUGAGGUCUUUACCUGCUUGGGGACAAAGUAAAACAAUCACAACAUCGCCUCUUAAGGAGGAUUCAGACAGUUGCCUGGCUAAAUAACAAGCCAGGUCUUCCAGACUACAUGGAGACAAGAGAGCUACCUCAAUGCUUAGCAAAGCAAAGGCAAAGCUAGUCUCAAGGAGCUAAAGCGACUAUGGUACCUGAAAUCAAUCAAAUAUAAUCAGCAUCCCAAUCACAAAAUCAAAACAAACAACAUAAGAAUCAACAAACAAUGUACAAUCAAACAAUGCAAUGUGCAAAGCACAAUCAACUCAAGUGAGCCAAGCAUCCUACAAAAUAAACCAAGUUAGUUCAUAACAAGUACAUAAACCAAACUCAAUCAACUUACAUAAAUCUCCUUAAAGCAUUUUGCUUCAUAACCUGAAAAUCACAUUCAAACAUGAGAUACAAGACCACUAGGACAAGCCUAGGGUCAAAAGGAGAUCAAAAAUUUAAAACAGCAAGUGAAAAAUGAUCACAACCAAGAUAAAUCAAACAAAAAGGAAUUCCAGCUGGUCCCAUAUCCAAAACAUUCACCAAUUGCAUUCUAUAAGCUAAACAUGUCAAACUAUGCAUUUUAGAACCACAUUGGAGCAAACAGAAUGAUCACAAUCAAACCAAUAUCAAAACAACUCAAUAAAUUCCACAAAAAUUCCAUUCUAAACAGAACACAUUCAAUGAGCAGCAUAUCAAAUUUCAUGUUAUUUGGACCAGAGGAAGUAAGGAAAUUAAAUCCAAGAAGUCAUGGCAUGCAAAAAUCAACCUAAACUAGGUCACAAAUCAAGUGUCAACUUCAAUCAAUUGUAAAACAGUGAAAACAAAUGAGAAAUGUAUGGGACCAAAGCCAAAAUGAAGUUAAACAUGUUAAUAAACACUCCACCAAAUUUCAUCAUCAUAUGAUAAGGGAUAAGGAUUUCACAAGAUAAGUAAGUUGACUACUCAAGAAAAACCCUAAAAUGACCAAACAGCAAACAAAAAUCCCAAUCAAAUAGGAAAUGGAUCAAUCAAAUCCACAAAAAAUCAUGGUGAAACUAGACAUACAUAUGAUAUCACAUGCAAAAACUCUGGGAAAUUGGCACAGUGUAAGCAUAAAAAAUAAAAUCAUGAACAUAGCAUAACAUAGUGUGACAUACAUUUUCACACUCAUGAAGAUCACAUCAUAUCUCUUAAUCCAGAAACUCAAAAUUAUCAAACUAUACAUCAAAAUCACCAGGAAAGAGUCAAGAACAAGCAUGUGAAAUUUCAAUCAUUUUGGAUAAUGCAUGAUUAUUUUAUGAAGGAAAUGGUAAAACAUAUGCACAUAUCAUACAUGAUCAAGAUCAUUAGGCAAAUUAAAAAAUGCACCAAGCACAACUUUAAUUACCAUGCCUAAAAAAAACUAGACAAAUUUUGGAACUCAACAAAAAAAUCCUCACUCAAUUUGGAUUAGAAUCGAUUUAGUUAUGAUUUUUAGAAGUUAGGUUAAGAAAUGAAAUAAAUAUUUAAGUUUAAAAAUGAAUUAAAUGAAUGCUGAUGGCAAUUUUGUAAUUCGCAUGGCCAGGGGGCGAAACGCCCCGUUUCACUUAUUGCAGUGGCGGCACGGUAUUGGUCAGGCGCGGCGGGAAACAGGUUUUUCAAAUGGAAACGCAGGCGGAAGGAUCUAACACGCGUUUUGGAAGAGAUUUUCGAGCGCUCUUCGCGUUUCUCAUGCUGUUCAUCAUCAACAUCACUUUUUGGCACCAAAACUAACAAACUAUAUAUCAUUGCAAUCGUCUCAUCAUGUACAUCAAUAAUCCAGCUAGCAUUCGUUCUAAUUCUAACCAUAUCAACGGGAUCGAAAUAAGUUUCACACUCAAAGGUUCAAAUCAAGAUAUCUCAUGCGAUACUCAAUGAAAAUUCAUGAUUCGAGUUGCAGUAUAUUGUAUGUCGCAAGAUCUAUCUAAACCACAUGUUGAUUUCAAGAAUCGAAGGAAUCGAAAAUUUACCUUGUGAUUGUGCAGCUGUGGAAAUCGCGCUUGUUAGGUCUCAAUUGAUGAAAACAGAUGGAGUAUAAUGUUGUAGAAGGUUGAUGCAAGGUGCAGUUCAGCUCAAAAGUGCUUGGAUCAAUGGAUUUCGCCAACUGCCAUGGAUGGACAAUGCUUUCAACAGUUGGUGAUUUGAUCGAUUCUUGCUCCAAUUGCCACAAACAGCACUCCAAAAUCACCUGCAGAUGAUGAAUGUUGCAAAAGAAAGCACAAAGAACAAUAGAUUUUUGAAGAAUUGGUGAAAAAAAGUGUAUGUGAAAAUGGAGAAAAUUGAGAGAAUUUUGAGAUUUUGUGAUUUUGAUCUGAAUUGUGAUUGUUGAUCCUGCAUUUUCUGUUAGGAUUAGGCUUUUAUACAAUCCCUUAAUCCAUGCUUUAAUCAUGAUUAACCAAAAAUUGGAUGAUUAGCAAAAUGAGCUUGUUAUGGAAAUUGGCCAAUUUGCCCUUGGAUAGCUUGAACCAAUGGAAUAGUGAAUUUCCUUUUGCAGCAAGUCUCAAAUCACAUUUAGAAGCUAUUCCAAUUGGUUUCAUGUGAAAAUUCCAUGUACUUUGAAAUUUGGCCUUUUUUCCCACCAAAAAUUAAAUGGUUCACUUGAAAAAUGGCCUUUUUAUGUGAAGGUUUUUGGUGAAAUAUGAUGAUGGAUUUGGAUAGUACACAUCAAAUAUGGUUUGCUCAAAGAAGAAUCACCCAAUUUGGCCUUUCCAUUCAAAAGUUAUGGCACUUUGAAUUUCAACUUUUUCUGAAAAUGAUUUGAUCAUAACUUGCCAACCACAUAUGGGAAAUGAGUGUUCUUGGACUUUUUGGAAAGGCAAGAACAAGAUCUUCAACUUUCAUGUUGGACAAAUUUUGAUUUGAAGCUUUUUUGGACAUGUAAUUUUGAGGAGCAUGACUUUCCAUUUUUGGCAGGUGAAAAUUACAGGUCAUUUCCAUUUUGGGAAACUUUUUGUUUGACCUCAAAUCCUUCAAUGAUGAUCUUUGAAAUGCCAAAUGAGGCUUAUAUGGACAUGAAUGAGACCUUUCCAACCAUCUCACACCUUCAAAUUCCUGAUUAAAUGCACAGUUGACCACAGUUGACUUUGCUAGGGUUUUGGUUGACUGAGUCAUGUUCUGAGGAAUUUCAAACCUCUUUCUCUUGAGAUCUUGAUACCAAAUGAUAUCAUAAGUCAUAUGAACCUCUGAUGAAUGGUCAUGGUGCCCAAAUUCUUCAAGAAUGGCCACCAUCUAGCUCAAUGGCUGAUUUUGACUGUUUGACUGAUGAUUGCUUCAGCUGCAAGUAACAUGGUUAGAUGACAAUAUUUUUGUACUUUUGGUUAGUAAACAAUGAAAAGCAAUGACAUACAAAUGCAAUACAUGCUUGGUGAUCAAGAACCACACUCACAAGAUAACCCACCCACUAGGAGGGAAACAAAGAUGUACAAUGAUCCUUGAAGCAAUGAAUGUCAUGUUAUGAUGCCUUGAGGCCAUGAGGGAUCUUAGGGCAAAAAUUGGGGUCUUACAGUCACUAAUAUAUAAAUAUAAUUUAUUGUAAAAUAAUAUAUUAAAAUAAGACAAUAACAAUAAUAUUAUAUAUUUAUUAUUAAUCUAAUGCACACAAAAAUAUUCAUCAUAAAUAAUAGCACAAACACUUCACAUAGAAUCAUCUACGAAUAAUAACUACUAAUUCAUAAGGUGACAUAUUUAUACAUAUAUGAAAAUUAUAAUAUGUCAAAUUUGGGGUGUUACAUAAAACACAUUAUGCAUAGUGAUGAAAAUCAAUAUUUUAAUUUUGAUAUUCCAAAGACCCCUUCUUUCGCAACACAUGUACAUAUUUCAUAUGAAGAAGUUGAUAUAUUUUAUGUGCAUGCUAGACAUAUGGAAAAACUAACAAGUAAAUAUUUUUUUUAUAGUUUAUUCAUAAUUUAUUGUUUGUUAUAAUUUUUAAGAGUUUAUACAUGUGUGUCAAUAAAUGUUAUACUGACAUGUAUUAUUAUUUGAAAUUAUAGGUGUUUAGAGACAAGACACCUAAAGACGUAUGAUCACAUUCUGGAUCUUGCUCCAUUCAGAAUAAUGAAGCUAGUGCACAAUAAUUUUGUUUGUUGGUUGUUUACUUGUUUAAUAUACUAGUGUAUAAAAUGCAUGUCAUUUUGGUGCCAUAUUGGUUUUGAUGUAAUAAUAUAUAUUUUUGGUUCAUAAUAGUAGACAUUUUAGUUUUGAUUCACAAAUGUAUUAUUUUUUUUAUGGAGAUUCACAAAUAUAUUGUUGAUGUGUUAUGAUCUGUGUUAGUUCAUAAAAUUCACAAAUGUAAUGAGAUUUAUGUAAAUUCAAAAAAUAUAUAUUAAAAAAAAACAAUAUAUUUCAUCAUGGUUGGUUCUUUCAACUAUAGUAAAAAGUAGUGUGGUAUCUAAUUUUUAAAAAAAUGCUAAAAUUGUUGUCGCUAGGUAUGAAAUCCACCAGUUUAUUACCACAACCAAUAGUCUGUGGUGGUAAGUAGCUCACUUACUAUCUCACCCUUUGUUACCACAAAUCAUCACCCGUGAUAAAAUCAUAAUUCCAACCGUGGUGGAAUAUACUUUUUGUAGUAGUGCUUACACAAUUUAAUCAUCUUUCAGCUAAUAAUUUUAUAUAUGUAUUGACUAACAAUUUUUCAUCUGAAAUUGGUAUAUAUUUUUGUUAUGCAUGAUAGCAAGUCGAACCCACUCCAAGAUCAUACGCUUGGUCGAGUGAGAGUCAUGAUCUGUAACUUUAACAUGCCAGACCCUUCUCCUCUCCAAGCUUUGAUGUUUGAUUGAAUGAGAGUCAUGGUCCUUAACUUCAAUAAACGGAAUCCCUUUUCCAAGCUCUUAUGCAUGGUUAAGUGAGAAUCUCAACACUCUAUGAUACACCCAAUUCUGGACUAGCCAUCAGGUCAUCAUGCUAUGACAUCACGUCCACUUCGAUCUGAGGAUUAUUCCUUGGGCCAAGGGCGAGAACAUUUAUGUUAUGGUUGACAAGUUGUUCUCAGAGACGAUAGGAUGUUGAUAAGACCAUACACAUAAAUAUAAAAAACAUUAUGAAAGUUUAAAUUUGAAAAAUAAUGCAUCAUCUUCGACACCAACACAUAGGCAAAAAAGACAUUAAAGGCAAGACUAUGUUUCAAAGACAACAUUGUCCCGAACCAAUAAUCAAUAUAGUUGAUUUAAUCGACAACAGUCCUAACUCUUAGGGAGUCCGAGAGAGUCGGAAACACCAAUGAUAUCAAUGCUUCAGGACCACAAGAGAGGGAGACACCACACAUCACUAGAAAAACAAUUAGUAGCGUCAGCCAUUUGAAGACGCUAAAGGUGAACAAACAGACACUAAUAUGCGUUUAGUGUCGAUGUCGGGCCUUGGAUAAAACUUGUGAAGCUACUGGGUAGCAUCAGGUACAGAUAAGUUGAGGCUAACCAGCCUCGACUAAACCAAGGCUAAGAGGACACUAAAUGCCCCAAUGCUACAUUGAUUCAAAAACAUGAAAAUUCAACAAUUAUGCUUAGCGUUGCCCUAGCCGACUCUAAAGUCAAUAAAUAAAAGUCAACAUUUUCUAAUAGUAUCGGCUAGCCGACGUUAAGUUCAAUUUAUAAAAGUAAAAAAAAUCUAUAACAUCAGUUUGACCGACCCUAAAGUCAACAUAGAAAAGUCAACAAUUAUAUUUAACAUUACCUUGAUCGACUCUAAAGUCAAUAAAUAUGUAUAGUCUACAUAAAAAAAGUUAACAUUUUCUAAUAGCGUCGACUUUGCCGACUCUGUAGCCAACCAAGAAAAGUCAAUGAAACUAAAUAGUGUCGGAUCAGCCGACUCUACAAUCAACCGAGAAAAGUCAAUGAAAUCUUUUAACAUACCUCUAGCCGACUCUAAAGCCAAACUCAAUCACGAAAAGUCAACAACAACGUGACUUCAACUUCAAAGAAAAUCAACCUCACUCAAACAAACUUAUUCAAUCCACUCCUUCAACCGAAGAAUAUCAUAUUUAUGAUAAAACAUUCAGAAACAAUCUCAAAUUCAUUAUAUUAUACAUUAUGAUCAUAGACUCAGUAACAGAAAUUAAGGAUGAACUCAUUGAAUAGAAGGAUAAUACCAUAAUACAAUAAUAGUAUUCUGAAUAGGCAAAGUUCCAGACAUGCACCACCUCGUUUAACAAAUACGGCUAAUUGGCAUAUGCAUUACUCUAAAACCAAAGUCAAAGUGCACUUUCUAGUAAUAAAUCCUAAGGCAAAGUAACUCAUUCACAUUAACACAAACUUAUUGCAGACUUAGUUUUGAAUGGGAGAUCCAUUUUUUAAAUAUAUAAGCAAAUACUUUCAUAUGAAGCCAAACUCAACUGCAAAUUCUCCUGACACAGACACCGACAUAUUCCGUCGCUGAACCCCUGUUUUUUCAGGUUGGAGUACUCGCACCGCUUCUGACGGAUCAUUUCCAUAUACACAAUUCUAAUGUUAAAAAGGAUAGAUUAGGACAUAAUAACACAUUGUUGUUUUUCCUUGUUGCAAGUUGUAUACCUCAAUUCUUAUUACAAAUAUGUUGAAAGAAAUAUCAUAUAUAGUUGUCAAUAAUACCAAACUUAAGUAGUGUGUCUUCAAAAAAACUUAACAAAGGAACUGUCAAUAGUAUAAGAAUUUCCUUUUAUUUCAACUCAUUGGCAAAAACAAAAUAAUCUCACUUCUCAUAGAUUUUACUAUAUAACAACAUCAUUAACAAAUCAAUAUGAAUGAUAAUUGUAGUACCUCAAUGCAUUUACCAUUCAAAAACAAACAAAUGCUAUACUCAAUAAUACAAACAUACCUGUCACAUUCUGAAUUAUAUAUACUGAUAAUGAACUAUUGGCUAAACUAUAUGAUUAAGCCUUAGAGUUCAGUAAUAAUAACACAACAAUAACCUUCAUUGUCAAAAUAUGGACACUAAAUUGAGUAUAGUUCCUUCGCUACUCAGAGGUUCCAACUUUACUGGCUAAUCUUUGGAACAAGUUAUAGGUUUCACAGUAAAAAAAAGGUACACCAGUAUUAAUGGCUCUGCAUAAUUCUUCAAUUUUGGAUCAAUUUACACAUAGAUUGAUGACCUGAUAAAGAUAGAAGAGUUAAAGUUCACUAUAUUACAUCAACAAUUGUCUUCUAAAAACAAAGACACUGCUGCAAUCUAAAAACUUGUGCAGAAUUAAAUUACCUUCAAGUAGCUAUAUAUCUUUAUUGUUGAUAUCCAAGAUGACAAUGCUUUUCAUGCCAGACUUGCAUCCAAGAAAAAAUACAUCUUUGAGGGUGGAUACCACGGUACAGAUGGCAAUUUAACAUCAUGCAGAUCAUGAUGGAAAUCCAUAAUACUUUUUUUGUGAUCCUUAUCCUAGAAAAGGAUGAAUUGAAGAGGAAAUUUCAAGUAUGCUAGAAAUAUCCCACCCAACAGUAUCAUCAAGAAUGCACAAAAAUAACAGCUAACUCUAAGUAAAAAUAAAAGAUUUACCAACACUAGUGUGAAGUUGCAUGAAAAUUGCACAAUACUGAGACUAUUUUAAACCGUCAGAUUUACCAAUAAAAUAUUGACAGGGUACUUCAUCCUCUAUGUUAUCAAUCUCCAUGCGACCCUUUAGUUUUGUAGUGAUUGCCGCACACCACCCACGCAUAUCUCUACACAUUUAUAGAUAGGGAACAUAAUACAUUUGUCUUGAAUUUUGCGCAAGGAUGAAGGGAUCAUAAGGACGAUAACAUUUAUCCAUCUUAAUAUACAUUGAACCUUUGUACCUUUAUUCUUUGUUGGGUCAAACCAUUCACAAUAAAAACUGGAAUCUUCUCCUUCAGACCAAAGUAAUCUAGCUCAAGAUAUGUUUGAUUAUUCCAUAAAAAUCAUCUUUUCCUCCUUCUGCAAGACCUUUCACGUGUACACCAUAAUUGACAGUUUUUCUACCUUUGUUCCAUUCUUCAAAAUGACACUUGUACUCGUUGAUAAAAUACAUGUUCCAUGAUAUGGCCAUUUAUGAAGGACUGCGAGAUAGGAAAUUAUAUCUUGGUUAGUAACUCCAUUUUGUCUCCUCAUUUACAUAUUUCUCCAACCAUAUGGGAAACUUUGUAUGUAUGCGCCCAAAUGAAUCUUCUAUAUUUAUAUAGUGGUUCUUUAAGAAUAUGUUGAAAUCAAUCACACGAUUCAUAAGUAAAUAUCUAUUAUGAUAUGCAUCGAGAAUUUGAUUGAAUAUAUUAUGAUGAAUACUUAGAUAUGGUUUAAUCUCAUCACAAUUUAUCAAGACAUGCAUGUGUGAAGACUUUCAUUCCUUAUUUGAUAGAAAAUAAUUUCCCGAUUUUCCACUUGGUUGACCGUCAGUUUGUAGAGUGGACAUUGUAGGUAGAAUGUCAUCAUUGUCCGAGCGGGGAUUGUUACUAGGAUUUGUGGUUGGAGACAAAUGGAAAGAGUUGAAAUAAUGAUAAGAAAAGUAAUUUGUCUCGCGAUGUAUACAAUCGGUGCAUAUGGAACCUUCAACUCUAGCCUUAUUUAUCACUGCCCUCUUUGAGACUCCCAUAAAUCUGCACAUUCGAUCAUUCCACAUUUAUUAAUUUAUGAUAAACAUGCAUCACUUAAUAAAAUCAACCACAAUAAUUACCUUUCGAAUGGAUACAUCCAUCAGUACUGUACUUGACCACCUAUAAUUGCUUCUUUGGCAAGAUGGAUUGGAAGAUGCUCCAUUGAGUCAAAUAAAUCCGGGAAAAAAAUCCUUUAUAACUUCCAUAUGAUAAUUGGAAUGUUCUCAUCCAACUUAACUAAUUCGCCCAUCCUCAAUGUAUUGCAACAAAGAUCUUUAAAGAAUCGACUUAGCUCACUUAAUGGUUUCUAAACCAAACCCGGAAAUGAAUGGAAUGCAACUGGGAGUAAACACUCCAUGAAAACAUGACAGUCAUGGCUCUUCAUCCCAUGUACCGUACCAUUUUCGACAUUGACACACCUACUGAGGUUUGAAGCAUAAUCAUAUGGCAUUCUCAAUUCCUUAAGCCAUUUACAAACCAACUUAGUUCCAUAUUUGGUCAUAGUGUAGCUAGCCUUUGGUUUACCAAUCUUUCUGUUUUCUAAGGGUUAAAGCUCCAAGUCCUUGCGAAAGCAUAAUUUAGUCAAGUCUUCUCUCGUCUUUUCUCUAUCCUUUGUUUUAUCCUUAACAUUCAUGACAAUGUCAAAUAUAUUAUCGAAGACACUUUUUUCUAUGUUCAUCACAUCAAGGUUAUUCCUUAACAAGUUAUCCUUCCAAUAUGGGAUAUCCCAAAAAAUACUUCGCUUUUUCCAAUUGUGAUCCACUUCAUACCCUUCGAUUUCUUUCCAUUUUGCCUCCCAUCCAAUUUCAAUCACUUUUGGGAAAUUACUUAUUACCACCCAUAUAUCUUGCCAUGUGGAAACGGGAGGUGGCUCGUCUGUCACAACCCUAUUUUUUAGGAAACUUAUUUUAUUCCUUUUGAAGGAGUGAUUAGCCAGAAAGAAACAACGAUGACGGUCAAACCAGGAAUUCUUAUGGUCACUUUUCAAGGUGAAAACAUCAAUAUGUUCCAUACAAUGAGGUUAAUUUACCUUGUGUUCCCCAUACUUAUAACAUACCAUAGGCCGGAAAAUCAUUAAUUUUCCACAUCAAGCAGACUUUCAUGAUGAAUUUUUGUUUUGUAGAUAUAAUAUAAGUCAAUAUUCCAUUAGACCGCAAUCAACGUAGAUCAUCAAAUAAUGGUUGCAAGUAGAUAUCUAUCUUCAAUUUAGGAUUUUUAGGUCCGAGUAUGAGACAUGUCAAAAACAAGUAUGGUUUGGGCAUGCACAUUUAAGGGGAAGAUUGUACGGAGUAACUAUUAUUGGCCAACAUGAGUAUGGAGAAGCAGACGCUUGAAUGUAAGGAGUAAAUCCAUUUGAACACGGGCCCAACCUUACAUUUCUGGGUUCCCUAGCAAAGUCAAGAUAUACACCAUCAAAAUGUUUCCAAGCUUUUCCAUCAGACGAGUGGCGAAGGAUGUUGGAACUAUUUUUGUUCAUUUGAUGCCAUCUCAUUUCAAUUGUCGAAUCAGUUGAUGCAUAUAAUCUUUGUAAUCUGGGAAUGAUUGGGAAGUAGAACAUUCUCUUCACUGGGAUACCUUUGUACUUUUCCAUGCCAGUCUUGCGAGGAAUGAACUUAGGAGCAUUACAAAAUUUGCACUCUGACAACUUGUUAUCAUCCUUGUAAUAUAACAUACAACCAUUCUUACAACAAUCAUUCUUCUCAACCUUUAGCCCUAACUUAGAUACCAACUAUGUUGCUUGGUAAUAGUUCUUGGGCAAGCAUUUUUGAACUGGACAUACACUUUUAAGUAUUUGUGCAACAAAAUCUAAAUUUUUUGUGGAACAUGCCAAUUAGACCUAAUUUCAAGAAGUUGGGUAGAUAUUGAUGAUAUUGAUUGGGUAGCUCCCUCAUAAACGGGCUUGUUGAAAGAUAUCAACUUGUCAUAAAACCGUUUAGCAUAUUCGUUGGGAAACUCAUCCUUCGUAAAUUCCCCAUCUUUUGUGUUAUCAUUCAUGUGAGAGAAUCCCUCAUAAGGCCUAAAAGCAUCAUACACCUCUGAUUCAUUCCCUUAAAUUGGUCAUCAUGACGCACAUGCUCACUAUUAUUUGAAUCAUCCCUUGUAUUAACAUUGAGCUAUGCUUCUCCAUGUUGAGUCCAAAUCCAAUAGUCUGGUUGAAAUAUAUCUCGAUACAAGUGAAGUCUAACAUUAAUUGGUGUUCUUAUCUUGAUACACUUGAAAUUUAUACACGGACACCUUAUCCCUCCCUCAGAUUUACAAAUAGGUUCUUUCAAAUCCCACUUCACGAAGUCUUUAAUCCCACGAACAUAAUCUUCUUUCAAUGUGCGCUUAUUAAAAUAUAUUAUAUCAUACAUCCAACUACGGUCCAUUUUUUAUAAAGGCAAACAAUUAACUCGUCAGCCACUAAAUAUUAAAAUAUAUAUUAGACAAAAACGAAUUAACUGAUAUAAUUGUCCUACAACUAAAGAGGAGAACCAUAUAUAAGAAAUAUGUUCUAGAAUUUGUUUUUGAAAUGGAGCAGAUGCUAACUCAUUUGGACUAGAGAUAAUACUAUUGAAAAUAUAUAUUACUAUGCUUGUUUAGUGCUACUAAAACUUUCUACAAUUUCAUUUUGGCUUAUAAUUUUAAGUCUUUUUGAAAAUACUUCAUAAUAAUUAAUCAGUUUAUGUAUGAUAGCUCAAAACUUCAAUGAAAAAUUAAAAAAAUGUAACUACUUGUUCGAGGCCAUAUUCAAAACUAAUAAAUUUGAUAGGCACAGAGAAUCACUAGAGUUUAUUAUCGCCAAUAUCCAAUGCAAGAAACAUCCAUUAAUUAACGCGCUUUCUCUGAAAAUUGGCUUUUAAAUUUAUGAAAUUAGAUAAAUUAAAAUUUACAUUUUAAGUAUGUAGGAACAUUUGAAGGACCUAUAAUGUUUCCUCUUGGUACAUGAUUUUUCAAGUAGAAUUUGAUAUUUCACAAAUAAUAAAAGUUGAAGAAGGCAUCUUAAAAUUAAUCAUGAAACUUGUAUCAUCUUUAUAUCAUAAAAAAUGAGGAAGUUAUGGUUCUUGAAAGUUAACCUUAUAUCUAGGGCACAAACAAAAUUACCUAUAAUCUUUUAUCAUAAAAAUAUAAUUUGAGAAUUUUUAUAAUUAUUAAGAGUUUAAAAACAUUUUGAAAGAAUUUUAAUAAAUUAGCAGCGUAAAGAUGAAUCAGUAGAAAAUAAAGAGUUUAAGGUAAGAGAGACAACACCAGGAAUUAUAGAGGUUCGGUGUCAAAUAAGUGACCUAAUCCUCUCCCUAAUAUUUAAUCCUGAGAGUAUCCAAUAAUUCUUAAGUGCUUUUAGUAUGUUGAACUCUUUAACCCCCUUAUACAAGGAAAAAUAAAGUUUUAGGUUAACUUCUAACCAAACAGCAAACAUCUGAGAGAAACAGUUAGUCUUCCUUCCAAACAACGAAUUGAAGUGGUUAGUCUUCUAUCCAACUUUCAACUUGAAUUGGUUAGUCCCCACACUAAACCAAUAUUUUAAACAAACUUUUCUCGAACCAAAGAGAGCUUUUGAACUGGGAUGAACUCGCGAACCGAACCAAGGUUUUGACCUGGCUAACCACGAACCACUUUGAUUCUAAUACAUGCUUAUCUCGAACCAAAUAAAGCUACUGACUAGGCUAAGCUUACGAACCGAACCGAGGUUUUACACAGGAUAACCACAAACCAACUUGUGAUUUUGAACUAGGCUGAUCUCGAUCCAAAAUAAACUUUUGAAUUAGGAUGAGAAAAUAUUCUGCCAAGAUAAAAUACUCCUUGUAGAAUUUAAAAUACCACCCUUCCAGAAUACAAAAUUUCCUCACUACACAAAGGAAAUUUCUUGAAUUUCUAUGACUAAAAAUAAGUGAGAUAAAGUAAAAAAAAUUAGAGAGAGAGUGAGGAGUGAGAUAUGAUGCUCAUGUUUUUGGAUAUAAAAAUGUGAAGGGAAUGACAUAUAUUUAUAGGUUAGAGAUUGACACAAAAAAAGAAACUUUCCUGAGCAAAAUUUAAUGCGCCAAUCGAUUGGCAUCAUGCACCAACUGAUUGGAAGGCCUAAAAAAUAAACGUUUAUGUUGUUUUAAAAGGUAAGAAGAGAUACAUAAUGUUUCCUCGUGGCACAUGAUUUUUCAAGUAGAAUUUGAUAUUUCACAAAUAAUAAAAGUUUAAGAAGGCAUAUUAAAAUUAGUUAUGAAACUUGUAUCAUCUUUAUAUCAUAAAAAAUGAGGAAGUUAUGGUUCUUGAAAGUUGACCUUCUAUCUAGGGCACAGACAAAGUGACUUAUAAUCUUUCACCAUAAAAUUGACUUUCCAAGCAAACUUAGAUCUUGAGUCCAACAUGAAAGAUGUUUUUAAUGUCAUAAAGAAUAACUUUUAUCUUGGAAUCAUUUUCAUAUGACAAAAAUUGUAGGAGAUAGGGUCUAAGAAUCCCUAAAUUUGACCAGUUGACUUUUCUGGUCAACUUCCUUGAAUCAACUUGCACACUUGAAGUUAAUUUGCUCUUUGGGGAUCAUGGAGGAUCAUAUAUGCUUAUGAUGAUGUAAAAUGAAGUAUCCAUUUAUAUCUUUGACCAAUUGUUGAAGAAACUUGUUGAGGAAGGCACACAAGAUACCCAGAUGAAUUAGGGUUUCCUUGACAAACAAGCUUCAAACUCUUGAUGAAUUCUUGAUCAAACUAACAAAUAAAGAACAUAGAGAUUCAUAUAUGAGGUUUAGAACCAAUGUGGACGUUUUCUUACUUGAUCUCUUGCAUUGAGGGUCUCAAACCCUAGUUGUGAGCUUGGUAAGGCGCAGAUGAACACACACACUACCUACAAAAGAAACAAAGUUAUACUAGACAUAUUUUUAUAUUUUGGUUAGUAAACAAAGAAAAUAAAGUAUGAUACAAUCAUAUAUGAUUGAUGAUCUCUCCCAAUGCAAACCCAAUGAAUGUUAGGUGAGGAGAAUACCAAGGUGUGAUCCCAAUGCCAAUGCAAAGCUAUGAGAUGACAUGAUGGAUCUUAGGGGUCAAAAUUGGAAUCUUACACACCUUAUCCCUCCCUCAGAUUUACAAAUAGGUUGUUUCAAAUCUCACUUCACGAAGUCUUUAACCCCACGAACAUACUCUUCUUUUAAUAUGUGCCUAUUAGAAUAUAUUAUAUCAUACAUCCAACUACGAUCCAUUUUCUAUAAGGCAAACAAUUAACCCAUCAGUCACUAAAUAUUAAAACAUAUAUUCGACAAAACAAAUGGUUGAUAUAAUUAUCCUACAACUAGAGGGGGGAACCAUAUAUAAGAAAUAUGUUCUGAAAUUUGUUUUUGAAAUGGAGCAGAUACUAACUCAUUUGGACUAGAAAUAAUACUAUUGAAAAUAUAUAUUACUAUGCUUAUUGUUAUUAAAACUUUCUACAAUUUCAUUUUGGUUUAUAAUUUUAAGUCUUUUUGAAAAUACUUCAUAAUAAUUAAUCGGUUUAUGUAUGAUAGCUCAAAACAUAUUCAAAACUAAUAAAUUUGAUAGGCACAGAGAAUCACUAGAGUUUAUUAUGUCGCCAACCUUCAAAAUUAAUCGGUUUAAGUAUGUAGGAACAUUUGAAUGCAUAAGCCUGUGAUUAAACAAAGACCAAUGCCAUAAUAUCAUGUCCAAUUUAUUUUCGGCAACGUAUAACACUGAAUGCGCCAUGGAUGUAGUGAAUCAGAGACUCUAAAUUGUUGCCUUCAAAUUAAAUUGAUAAUAUCACUUUGACAAACUCACAAAUAUCAAAUUCAUCAAACACUGUGACAUUAUCAAUCAACAAAAACUAGAAUGCUCAUUCUAAAAUCUUAAUACUUUUCAUUUUUCCACUUAAAAGUUUAUUAGCUAAAUUGCAAACUUAAAGGUGACUUUUAACUUACUUGAAAAACAAAUAUUAAUUUGCAUUUAACAACUCCUUCCUGCCUCCACUAAGUAAGUCAAGCGUUCUUGAAAACCUACAUUUAGAAAAACCAUUAACAAAUCAUUCGAUUAUGGUUUCAGACUUAAAGGAGACUUUAAAUAUAUUUGAAAACAACAAUCAACUUGUAAAGAAAAUUUGCUUCCUGCAUCCACUAAGUCGAGAGUUCUUGAAAACCUAGAUUUAGAAAACUCAAAACCUAUCACUAUCUCAUACACAUGAACCAGAACUCCAUGGAAAUGACUCGAAAUGAAAAUGGAUUCUUCAAAACAGAGGCAUUAUCUUUGAUGAGUCAGAAACUGUAGCGGUAAAUUUUUUGAGAUUAAGCUAUUGAUUAACUUAACUCAUAAAAUAAGAGUCACCAUCGCGCUUUUAUUAUUUUUAAAAGAAAGGGAAAAAGAACAAACAAAAUCCAAAGAAGUUUUAAAACAAAAUUAAUAAAAAGAGAUAAGGGUCAGGGGUUGGUUAUGCAAAGGGAAGAUAUUAGCACCAUAAACAUCUGUAGUACUCUAUAGGAACCUCUUUGAAAAUCUAUGCAUUUUAGCUUGAAAACGAUAUUAUUUGCCAAUGAUUGGGGAGAUGAGAAGAGAAAUAUUUUUAUAACUUUUGUGUAUGCCAAGACUUUAUGAGUCUUAUGCCUACAUACCAACAAAGUGCAUUGGAGGAUAAAACCUCGUAGUUCCUGAUAAAAAUAAAAAAUAUGUUUCUUUGGAUACAUUUUUAAUGAAAAGAAAUUUUGCCAUUUUUAUGAAAAUACUCACCUAGUCAUCCACAAGUAUGAGAACUUUAUAUCACCAUAGAAAAUGACUCAAACUUGGAUAAAGAUUAACAAGUAUGUCACUAGCUAUCUUAGGUGGAAAAUAAUUAUUAUCAAUAUUAUGGGGAUAGAAGAAUCAUAUCUCAACUAUGGAAAUGACUCAUUUCUAAACUUUGAGAAAGAGUUUUAAAAGAAAAAAAUGCACAAAUGACACAAAAUGGUUUGGGUCAGUUAUAUAUUUUUUAGUUUUUUUAAAAUUGGUCUGAAUAUGCUUAAGAUGUAUUAGCAUUUAAUAAGAAAAAUGUUUUGAAAAUCACUUGACAAAAGUCAAGGUUUAUUAAGAAAAUGGUUCAAGUUUGAAAACAAGAAAGUUUUGAAAAGAGAGAGGAGAUUUUGAAAAUCAAAGAAGGAGAAGAGAAGAAGAGAUUAUCCUAGAGUAUAAAGUAAAAACUGGGGAGGAAAGAUCUAACCAAGAGAUAGCAAGUUUUAUAACAUAAGUUAAGCAAGAAUUCUCUCCUUUGAAUUAAGCCUUAAGAAAGCCAAAUAAGUAAAGAAUAAACCAUGCAUCAAAUGAAAUCAGGAUAACCAAGCCAAUUCUUCAAAAGAAGUCUAAAGUCAAUGGUAUCAGAUGAAUCUCAAGGUGUCAAAUCACAAGCUCUCAAAAUAAGGGUCAAGAUCCUAUUUCUAAGUCCAUAACUCCAUAACAAUGCUAAGGAUAGUAACCUCUAGUUCAUGAAUCCAGAUAACCAAAAAAUUUAGGCAUUUUUUCUUUAUUAAUCUCUUUUAAAAAAAAUAAGUCUAAAUGGACAAAGGAAAUAGAGCAUAAAUAUAAACAAAGGUCUAAGUGGACAAAGAGCAAACAUGAUAUGAGAUGCUAAAAUAAAAGCAUAAAGUAAAUAGCAAAAAAUAAAGAGCAUAAGAUAAAUGACAUUAAAGUAUGGUUAAUCCAAUAAAAUAUUAGUAAGUGAUGUUAGUGAUCAAAAGAGAAAGAUGAUUCAUCAUUUUUCUAGAAAACACUCAACUAUUCACCCAUAAGUAUGAAAAUAUGGACUUUUACAUCACCAUGAGAAAGGCUCCAACUUGGAUAAAAUUAACAAGUAUGUCACUGACUCUUAUAGGUGAAAAGAAACAAUGGUUUUCACACAAUACCAUGAGGAGUAUGAGACUUACAAUCUCACUUAUGAAAAUGACUUGCUUUGGGGACAAAUUUAACGUUAUGUUAAGCAAUCGUAAUUAGACUUAUGUAGAAGUCAUAACUAUCUGAGGUCAGUCAAUAAUAAUGUUUGUGUUAAUACAUGCUAUAUAAAUUAUAUGUAAACCAUUCUCCUAAAGUUAUACCACACAAAAAAGGGAAAGAGGAUUGAUCAAGCACAAAGGCUAGGAGAGUGGUCCAUUAUAUCAAUCAAUACUUCAUAGUACUUAGGAUAAACUUAUGCAUCAGUCCAAAGUACCUUAAAUGAUUCAUGAUUAAUUAGGAGGUAGAUUUGAAAUGAUAAAAGUUCAUCAAGCACCAAUCCACAUAUCAUGAACAAGAUGGACACAAUCCAAUUCAUCAAGAGGAAAAUAAAGAGAUGAAGAAGAAGAGGACACGAGAGAUCACACCCAAAUUGGAUCAAAGGCUUGAUCAAGUCAUCAUCAAAAUCAAUUAUCCAUUUUGUUGGAUUAUGGUUUUCACUCCAUCAACACCCAAGAUCCAUUGAGUUUGAUGAGACCUAUGAUCAAAUCAACUAAGAUCCAACACCAACAAAAGUCAAACAAACAUAAAAUGCAAAAAGAUAAAAUAAAAUGCAUUAAAAAUAUUAUUAAAAUGAAUUUUAAAAGGGAAAUAAAAGAGAAAAUCCAUAAAGCCCUUCAAAACACCAAAUAAAUGGCCAAAAAAAAUCAUGGAAGGUUGGAAGUAAAAUAAGAAACAUAAAAUAAUUUUUUCAUAAUUUUAAAAUGCAUAAAAGUAUUUUUACACCAAUCAAAACAAAGGAAAAAUGAGAAAAUCCAUAAAAAAAAUAGAAAAUCAAGAAAAUAAAAUGUGAAAAAUAAAAAUCAGAUGAAGAAAAAUAAAAGAGAAAUUUAAAAAAAAAUGGUAUUUUUUGGAUGCAAAAUGAAUUUUCUAUGAAUUUUAAAAGAAAAAGAAAUUUAAAAUGAAAAAAGAAAAAGAAAUAAAAUAAAAAAAAACUCGCAACGUUGGAUCUGACCUCAUUAAUUGACAUGGCAGAUCCAAUAAUCCUCAAGCUAGGGCGCACGAUGGAAAAUAGCAAAACUGAAACACGAGAUCCAAUUUAAAAUAGACCAAUCAAAAUAUUUCAAAUUGCCAACGUGUAUGGUCAAACUCAGAUGACCUGAAACACUCUGGUCAUCUUCCCCGAUGAUCCCUCACCGAAGUUUCUCUUGAUAAAUUCAGAACACAAGACUAACACCAAUGUGAUCGCCUCCUCAUCAGGAAUUCAACCUCAUGCUCAAAAUUCAUUUAUCUAAACUUAGCGGAGAAUUUCAGAGAAGUUUCAAAAGCAAGCAAGCCACAAAAAAUUAAAUUAAAUGAUGCACAUGAUCAAUCAACACUAGAUAAGUUAGGGGAAAGCAUCAAAGAGUGAAUGACUACAUUAUAAUAACUUGUUUGAGUUCAAAUGAUGCUCAAACUACCUUGUCCAAAUGGUGAUCAAAAGUUGAUGAAGCUUGAUCUGGUCAAGGCACUUCAAGAGGUCUUGGAUCUUGGGAAUUUUUGCAAAAACUUCAGAGAAGACCGAAGAUGCUAAUGGAAUCAAGAAAUUGGAUUGAAACAAGGUGGAAUUCAAAACACGAUAGUUCAAUUUUUUGGAAAAAUUUUAGAGUCAAGUAGGGAUUUCUUGGCUCUCUAAAGCUUGGAAAUGAAUACAACAUGUUACUCUAUUUAUAGGGAAUGUGUUGGGACCCAAAUACGUGUGGAAUGAAGUUCAAUUCAUGCAAAUAUAAAUUUGAUCAUGGUGUGAGAAAAAUGCGACUUGCAAUCCGUCAAAACUCAGCCAAAUGAUGCGUUUUAAGAGUCAAUUAACUUCUGAAGACUUGGUUAAAUAUGUUUAGGUCCAAAACGUGUGGUAAUUUGGUUUGCAAUUGAGAUUAGUGAAGUUCAAAUUUUGGAUCAUGGUGAUUUCUUCAACUCCAAGUCACCAUGUUCAACUCAAUGGGGCAUCUUGCUCAGGAGGGUUUUUGAUCACAUUCUUCUUGCAAUAUGUUGACAUCAUAUCAAAGAUUAAAUUAUGAUAAGAAAGGUUGUAUUUGUAUGCUUAAGCAUAAAGUUAUGGUAUGUUAAAGUUGGCACAAAAAUCUGAUAAUGUAACUUAGAAAAUUCUGAGUCCUAAGUGGUUGAAAAUAACUUAUAAUGUCUUAAAGAAUUCCAUGGCCUUCCAAGUAUAAUUUGACUUUGGUCCUUGAAUAAAAAUUAUAGAGGGAAUCACAAAUGAUAUUUUGCAAAAAGAAUCAACCUCAAACAUUGAAAAUUGAAGAAGUUAUAAUCCUUGAAAGUUGAGAAAAAGUCACUUGAAAAUAUGUCAAAUUUCACUAAGUCCGCAAAUAACCUAUAAUGUCUCCAAACUUUUGAUGAUCCUCCAAGCAUAAUUGAUUCUUGUCAUGUAAAGAGAAGUUGUAGAGGAUAUUGAGAAGAGUCAUAUGCAAAAAGAAGCAUUCAAAAUAUUGAGAAUUGAAGGAGUUGUGAUCCUUUAAAUUUUGACUUCAAAUGUUGAAUUUUUGGUCAAACCUCAUGGAGUAAACUUGUGCACUUUGACUUAUCUUGCAUUUCAAGGUACAUGGAUGAUCAUAUGAACUCAAAAUAACGUGUCCUUGAAUGUCUUUCGAUUGAAUUGCUCAAAGUUUUAAGUAACUUGUUGAAGAAUGCAUGAAAAUAAACACAUGAACCUUUGACUUUUCUUGAGAAAUAAACCACAAGACUUUGAGAUACUCUUGAUCACAAUGAGAUUGCAAGAUGCUUGAUAGCCUUAGAGAUCAUGCUUUGAGAAAUGAGUCCCUUAAUAGUUAAUGGUUAAUCAAACUUUGACCUGAGGAAUCAAAGAAAACCCUAGCUGAGGAGCCAUGUUUGAUACUCUUGAUGAAAAGUCUUACCUUGCACAAUAAAAUUAAAGAAAACAAAACAUAUUUUUGUUAUUUUGAUUAGUCGUUAGAUAAACAAUGAACAUAUAAACAUAAAAGUUAAAACACUAACAAAUAGAUGAUCACUGCAAAAAGAAAACUCCAAAGAUGAAAGGGAGAGGGCAAGGAUGUGAUCUUGUUGUAGCAAGGAUGCAAAUGACAUGUGACAUCUUACGGUUAAAAAUUAGGGUAUGACAGAAACCCUUGAACUCCAUGGAAAGGGCUUGAAACAAAACGGCUGCUUCAAUUGAUUCAUGAAUUAGGAAUUCCGUUCAACUCGAAUCAUAAAUUAGAGAAAAAGUGAUUCACGGAUUAGGGGAAAAUGAGAGAGAUUAGGGGGAAAGAGAUUAGGGUUUGUGAAAUGAAAGGGAUGGAAAGUGAAAUAAAGGGGGAAAACGACGAGGGAAAAGGAAAUAGUGAAAUGAGGGAAAAUAAAAAUUAACAAAACUAUUUUUAAAUAUAAACACUUAUUCACCAGAUAUUUUAACAAAAUUAUUGUGUUGUAGUGGUUAGUGAUAUUAUGUAAGGUAUUUGGCUAUCAAAGAGUCACAAGUCUGAUCCCCCUUGGCUCAACAUUUCUAUUAUUUUUACAUUAAACUAUUGUGUAAUUUUUUUCCUUCGAAAUAGCAAAUUCCCUAGAGUCAGCCAAACGGACUCUAAAUAAUAAAUAAAAUAUUUAAAAAUAAGAUAUAUAGACUCUAACUAAAUAAAUAAAUAAAACAAAAAGUGUAUGUUAUUAAACACCGUAGGAGAAGUUGACUCUAGCUAGUUGAUUUAAAUUUAAAAAAAAAAAAGAGUUAAAAGAAAUAUGUGACUAAAUAGAAUCAGUUACACCAACUCUAAAUAAUAGAAUUAAGUAUAAUUUAAAGUUAAUAAAAUAAGUAGACUAGGGUUAACGGACUCUAAGUAAAUAAAUAGUUAUUAAACUAUAAUGUUAUUAAAUAGAGUCGGUCAAACCGACUCUAAAUAAAUAAAUUAAAUAUAAUAGAACAUGUAAAAUCGGAAAGGCCUAGCUAAUUAAAAAAAUAAUUAGUUAAAGAAAUGUACUUAAAUAGAGUCUCUUAGCGUAGGCUUAUGCGACCCUAAUAGCGUGUCUGUCGGUAGCCAACUCUAAACUAGGACGCUAAAAUGACAUAUUCUAGUUGUGACAUCUCAACCCAAAAAUCUUAAGGGAUCAAGUAAAUGGGUCAUCUGUCUUUAAAAAUCCAACAUUUCACCCAUUCAUAGGCGGUGUGGGACUUUUAAUCACUCACACUUGCACGCCUGAGAAGUGUGAGUCUCUCACAUUCUAUGACAGGAUCCAAUACCGGAUUCAGCUCUUGCUCCCCCACAAAGUCGAGAUUUGAUUGGGUAAUGAAUGAAAUUUGAAACUGAAUUUGAGAAAAAAAAAAGUUCAGUGUGAACAGUUCAAUUUUUGCAGGUUUUAAAAAUGUAUUUUCGAAGACACUUAGAAAAUGUAUUUUCGAAGACACUUCAAAAAUAAAUGAAUUUAAUUGAUAUACACUGACAGUGUAAAGAUUUUUUACACUGUCAGUUAAUCACAACCAUUGAUUUAUUUAAAAUAUUUGACUUUUAUUUUAAACAUUUAAAAAAUAAUACAAACGGAUGAUUGUGAUGCAUUGACAAUGUAAAACUUUUUACACUGACAAUGCAUAACAAUUAAUCUCAAAAUAAAUUAGGACGUUGCUCAAAAACAAAUGCCUCGUGUGUGUAUAAAAUGUGUUUGAAGAUGAUCUCCAAAUUCUAAAAGUAUUUUUAUAUUUUUAUAAGUUGUUAUUGCAAUGGAAUAAAAAAUGGCCAAAUGCUAUCCAUGAUAAAGUAUAUAUAAAGGCUAAAAUUAGAAAAUAUUUAGUCUUUUACAUUGCAUGUCAUGUCCUUUUUCUCGUUGAUUUUCUAAAUCCUAAUUUUAUAUCAGAAAUUAGAAAAUAUAUGUACUUUUAAACAAAACAAAAAAUAAAUAAUAAUCUUGUGCCAUAAGAAGAGAAAGAUAAUACUAAUAUGAACGAACAUAUGGCAUGCAAAUAACCGAGAGCAACUUCCAUAACUGAAAAUGAGUUCCAAUUUACGACAAUGCCACCGAAGUAUUCUCAGUUCCUUCUUCAUUCAAUCUUGAAAAUAACCACUUCUUAACUAACUUCCACACCUUCUUCUCUCUUUCCCCUUCCUCUCUUUCUCUUUCUUCUCUCUCACUCCACACACAACAACAAUGGCCAAGGCGAACCUCGACGGGAACCCAAUCACUCCGUUAUCAAUUUGCAUGAUCGGCGGCGGAGGAUUCAUCGGAUCACACCUCUGCGAAAAGUUAAUGUCCGAAACUUCUCACAUAGCCAUUGUCGUCGAUGUCUCCUCUGAGAAAAUCAAUCACCUCCUUGAUAAGUCUCUCCCUUGGGCCAAACGUAUCGAGUUUCAUCACAUGAACAUCAAGAACGACUCGCGCCUUGAGACUCUCGUCAAAGCUUCCGAUCUCGUAAUCUUUCUUCUUCUUCUUUUCAAUUUCUUUUUCAAUUUCUGGUUCCAUUGUUAUUUGUUUUUAAUUUUUUAAUAAUUUUGAAUGAUGUUGUUUUUGUUGUAGACUAUCAAUCUUGCUGCGAUUUGCACGCCGGCGGAUUAUAAUACGCGGCCUUUGGACACUAUUUUCAGUAAUUUCAUUGAUGCGAUUCCGGUGGUGAGUUUUUUAUCGAUGCCUUUUGAAUACACUUUUUGAGAUUAUUAUGUUUUGAGGAGUAUUAUAAUUGUUGGUGUGUAAUAAUGCAGAUUAAAUUUUGCACUGAGAACAAUAAGCGUUUGAUUCAUUUUUCUACUUGUGAGGUCUUUGGGAAGACUAUAGGUAGCUUUCUGCCUGAGGAAUAUAGAAAGGUACCUUGAUGAACAAAUAAAAUUAGGGCUUAGUGCUUAUUUUUCAAAGUUAAUCGUUUCUACUUUCAUUUCAAUUAAUGUGUAUAGUCAUUGGGUUAUGAGAACCGGUUUGUUAACGCGAAUACGACUGCGAUAAAAUGGUAUUGGAUGGUGCUGAUAUCAAUACUGUUAUUUACCGUUUUUAUGGUGUAAAAAAUUGUGGUUAAUUCACACCGCGAUGACUGCAAUCAGUAUAACAAGACUUAUAACGACCGAAACUAAAGCCUUUACGCGAAUGCGACCUAGGUCAAUGUUUAAAACCUUCAUUAACUAAGAAUUAUUUAGAUUUUCAUUUUGAGUUAGUUCAUAUGAGUUGGUUUUAGCUACAUAUCAAAGUUAGGGGGUGCAUUCAUAUUAUAAAGAAAUCAAAAUCAUAUCAUAUAUAUUGAACAAAAUCAAUCAAAUGCCAUUUUCUUAUAUUUGUUUCUAAGGUAAUGUUAUCUUGUAUCCUAAAGACACAAGUUAAGAGAUAAAUAUAGUAUAAAAUUCUUAAAAAUUGUGUAUUGAAUUUAAUACACAUUUAUAAUUAAUGAUUUUAUUGUUUUUUUCAAUACUAAUUUUUUAUUUGUGAACAAGUUAGCAUUACCUUGUUUCUAUAGUUAACACAAAUUUGCAUGAUGCGCAGGAACCCCAAUAUUACAUGCUCAAAGAAGAUGUGAGUCCAUGUAUUUUUGGUCCAGUUCAUAAACAAAGAUGGUCUUAUGCAUGUGCAAAGCAAAUGACAGACAGGCUAAUUUAUGGUAAGCAAAAAAACUCGUGCUUUUGUGUUAAUUUUGAUAUACGAAGCAGUGAUCUUGAUACCAGACACAAGACUAAGACUAACACGUUGCUGACAGUAUUAAUUUAUAGUGUGGCUAUGCUACAUAGUAAUUGAUAGUGUUAUUAUAAGAUUUUCUUCUUCUACUUCUUAACUUACUCUUGAAUAUUAAUCUAAAGCUGAGCAUGCUGAGAAUGGCCUGAAGUUCACUAUUGUGAGACCUUAUAACUGGAUUGGACCAAGAAUGGACUUCAUUCCUGGUGUGGAUGGCCCGAGUGAUGGUGUCCCCAGAGUUUUAGCUUGUUUCAGUAAUGUAACAUCAGCUAGCUACUUCUGUUUCUUGUGCAUUUCUUCAUGUUCUUAAAAUACACACACCACUGUUUUUCUUAAAAUUUCUUGUUCCAGAAUCUCCUUCGUGGUGAGCCGCUCAAGCUUGUUGAUGGCGGACGUUCCCAGAGAACCUUUCUCUAUGUCAAAGAUGCAAUUGAGGCUGUUUUGUUAAUGAUUGUAAGUUGAGAAGUGAACCUCCAUCUUUCACAUUUAGCUUGGUCUAAUGUAUAUGCUAUCAUGCCACGUGCAGGAUAACCCUAAUAGAGCAAAUGGACACAUUUUUAAUGUGGGAAACCCAGACAAUGAAGUAUCUGUGAAGCAACUAGCUGAGCUUAUGAUAAAGGUAGCUUAUAAAUUAUUCUUUAGAUAAGUUCAUGACUUUGUUUAUUCAAGAAAGAAAGAAAAAACAGAUUUGGCUCAUUUUGUUUCUUCAUUUAGGUAUAUGCAAAGGUGGCUGAUGUACCUGCCUCUAGUCUAUCAACUCUGGAUGUGACUUCAGAGGAUUUCUAUGGAAAAGGCUAUGAUGACAGUGAUAGGCGCAUCCCUGACAUGACAAUUAUCACUAAGCAGCUUGGUAAUCUGUCAUUAAUUCUUUUGAAUCUGUGCUAAUGUAUAUUUGUGUAAUCACAUUGAGUUUGAAGAAAUCAUGAUAGCACCUAAAUUUUGUUGAAGUUUUAAAGUGUAGUUUUUGCCAAAAUUACAGUCUUUGUCCGCACACCAUAAUCAUGUCAAAUUUAUCGUGAAUCCAAGCAUGCACAUAUUAGUCUGCAGAAUUUGACAUUCUUCUUAUUGUUUAUUCUUCUGAGGUUAGGUUGGAAGCCAAGAACAUCACUUGAUGAACUGUUGGAUUCUACCCUUCAAUAUCAACAUCAGACAUAUUCUCAUGCUAUCAAGAAAGAACUCUCCAACCCUUCAACUUGACUAACUUCCAAAAUGAAUUGGAGAUUUAGUUUACUCCUAAUUUUUUUUGUAAACAUGUCACUGACAUGAUGAGGCAAACGGGCAAAUGUAUAUGAUACACUCAUUGUGAGGUCUAGAUCACAAGUCUACUGUAUAUCUAUAGUCAUAUAUCUUCUGUUAAUUCUUCCUGUAACUCUAACUUUUUGAAUGAAAACCUUUCCCUUUUUGUCUUUUGGAGUUAUAGCACUUGUCUUCUUUUAACUUUUAAGCCUCGACAGGUUAAACUAAACUUCCAAUUCUUAACUUCAGUUUAUUUUAAGACAAUUAGACCAGCAAAAAACUGUCUCUGGAAAUCUCAAUAUCAUCAAAACUCAGUAAGUGAAUAAGCCAGACGAAAAUAAUAUUUAAUUUCAAUUGUUUUAUUUAUAAUGGAAAUAUAAAAGGUUUCAUUAUUCUAACAUGCAUACAUGGCAAAACAGAACUUUCGUUUGAAGGGUUUUCUAAGUAGUAAUUGAUGAAAACUUCUUACCAAACUCAAUAUGGAUGCAACUCAAUGAGCUUGUUAUGCUUCAUAAUGUAAAUCCAAAUUAAAACAAAAUAUUCAAGAAAAAAAAAGUAUUAAGUUACAAGCAAAGAAACUGAUUAGAAGUGAUGUUUGUUUUCUAGUUAUGACAGAAAUAAUGCAGCAGAAUCUAUGCAACACCAACUAUGUAAGCAUUCCAAGAAUCUUGUUGCUGAAAACUCGUUGUCUCUUCAUAUUUUAUAUCCUUUCCUGCUCCAAAUCCUUCAGUUCUUGUGAUUUCCGUGGUGUCUGGCAUUUCUCGAACCCAAAAGUGAACAGAUCGAAAUCCAGCUUCUUCUAAGCAAUCCCUUAUCUCAGGCAAUGUCCAUCUAAAUAACAUAUUAUAAUGUUAGAAAGUUGAAAAAAUACAAAAUAUAAACAAUACCAUAAAGGUUUGAACUACGGGAAAACUCUUUUAUGAAUUGAAGGGAAACAAACAAAAGAAGCAACUUACAGCCGCCAGCUGUAUGAAAACGCAUGGCGAAGCUUUCUUUGCUCCUUUUUCAGAUGAAAAUGGAGACUAAUCCUUGUUUUCCGUUGAAUAAUAUCAAAUUCAGCUUGCUCCCAUACAUACUGCAGAUUUUGAUCAUAAGUUCACAUCAUUAAACAAUCAUCCAGGAGAAUAUUCACAUGAAUCCCAUAUAAGAUACUAAUAGAGUAAUUGUGCUUUAUGCAUCAAUCAUUUGUUCUAUUUCAAGGGCUGGAAUUAACAUCAAGAAUCUUAUACCGUAAAAUUAGGAAAUCUUCUUUGAAGCUUCAACUUGUUCUCUGAAGAUGUACCUCCAUAUAAAUCCAUCACGAAAAUUCCACCUUUUGUUGACAAGGCAUCACGAACAUGCUUGAAAUACAAAACUAGAUCAGCACGUUUAUGGAGACAACAACAGCUGUAGUUAAAUGCACACACAAUAUCUCUCCCGUUCAUUGGAAAGUUUUUCGCAGUUAACUUAUCAUCUUGAGCAGAAGAGCUUGUUGGGACAUCCGACUCAAGCACAUCGACCUGCAGAUUCUCUGUAUUCUGUGACAGUGAAAUGUUCCUUACCAGCUCCUCAGGGUCCAUUUCCACAAGUUUUGACUGAAGAGGUUGUAGAACAUUCCCAUGAAAGAGUGAUAUUCUAGAAAACCCAUCAGCCCCGAUUUUAGGUAUAUUGUUUUCCAGGCACCAAGUAAGUGCCUCGAGAUCCAAAUCUAAUCCUAUAGCCGUCUUUCUUGGAUCGCUUCGGAGCCAUUCUGUACUGGCAAACAUAAGUCAUUGCAAGAUAAGUAGAUCAGGAUCGACAUAAAAUAUCAAGAUGUCGAGACAUAUCAAAAUGAGAAAAUAAUUAAGUCUCUUUUUAUAUUGACUUAUUUGAACUUAUCUGACAAGUAGUUAGCAACGAGAAUAGAAUGAGAGAAUGUACCUAAGAAACGCAGUGCCGCAGAAAUCUUCUUGAAGAUGGAGAGGCACCCUUCCACCAACAUACAUGAGAAAGAACUUUUGCAAAUAACUAAUGUCUCCUUUGGGAGACUGCAAUAACAAAAAAGCAUAUUCACCAAAGACACAUUAUGAACUUCUCAAUUAGGUCAAAUAAAUCACAAGAACCACUUAAGAGUUUUUUUGAAUUAACUUAUUUGAACUUAUCUACUAGCGGUGUUUCCUCAAACUCUGUUUGGAUAAACAGCUUAUUAGCGGUCUAUAGCACAAGCGCUUAUCAUGAUAAGCACUUUUGUAUUACAUAAGUUAUUGAAUAAAGUUAAAUUAUUCUCAUCUAAAAAACCCGAUAUAAAAAUCUAAAAAACAGAAACCUGGACAGAUUGUUGGUAAAGGAGAAAUUUUGAAGGCAUAUCGUGUGAUGGGUGUUGUUCAUUGUUGUUGUUGUCAGAAUCAGCGUCAUCUAUUGCUUCUUCUUCUUCUUCUUCGUUGUCAGCGGGUGAAAGCGUUGAAGUAGAAGAGAAGGGUUGUGCAGGGUCAUUCUCUUGAAGAUAGUAAUCUCUUCCUCGUUGAGUUCUGUCGUGUUUCUGCUUCUGCUUCUCUCGCUUUCCCAUUCCGCCGCUAUAAACCAAAACCCCUACUACCACCGUUUACACACCAAUAGGGUCAAUACCAUGUGGCAGUGUCAUAUUUUACAUUUACUAAUCUUUAUUUGAAGUAAUAAACUCUCAUUAAUUUUAAAAUAAGACUUUGUUUGGAUAUCUUAAAAAUAAGUUAGUGAAAUAAAAAAAAUAGGAAUGAAUUAGAAUGCAAACAUUAUUAAUUUUUUUUAAUUAGAGAACAUGAUAAGUUCUUUCGAAUAAAUGAGAUGUUGCGGAUUUGAACUCACAUCUUUACAUAUGAUAUAUUUGUAUAACUAUCAAUUGAGCCGCCUUGACGGGAUGAUAUCCACAUAUUUAAACAUCUGUAUUUGAAUGUUCUAUCCACAUUAGUUUUGGAUUGAAAGGUCCGGCAUGGUCCACUAGUUGAUUUAUCUCGGGCUUAUUAAGAUGGACGAGUUAUAAUUUGAGUCACACUUUUUUGGCUUAGUUCUAUAGUCCGACCCACUAUUAGGGUGUGUGUUAUUCCCCGUGUCAUCCAGUAUUCGGUCCAAGAUAAGUUUGAAAUUUACACAGACCCUCAAGCAUGAGUAGUAUAGGAGGUGAAAUGCUUUUCUCAUACCGGCUAAUAGGUCAGACAUGUACACAGACUCCUAAGCAUGAGUUACGUAAAAGUAAGAUGUAUAAGAUUGAUAACUAAGUAAGACAUGUGAACAUACCCACAAGCAUGAGCCGCAUAUAUGCAAAGUGCUUUUGGGGUUGGGUAUUUUCUCUAGUGAGCUUCUUAUAAUUUCUUGGAUGGGUUGACCUUUGGUUAUGACCCGCCAAUGUCAGUUGGUUAUCCAAAUUUAAGCCAUGGAUUUUCCACUUUUAAUGCUUGUAGCAGCUUUUUACUAAUUAUAAUGAUUAUCAUAUGCUUUGUGAACCAUAAAGUCAUCAGGGCUACUUAUAUUCUCUAUAUUCCUAGGGUAAUAAAUUUUAAUGCUACCAUAUUUUUUUGUCUUCCACUAUUUUCUUUAAAUAUGCGUGUGUUUUUCACUUCUCUCAUUCAACCGCAUUAAUAUGUCUCUUACGUCAUUCCUACCAACAUUCUUCUUUUGCCUUAUUUUUCAUUUCCUUUCUACCUUCUCAUGCAUUUCUUUAAUCCGCUAGUAGCAUUAGGUAACAUUAUGUUUUCUUUGUGAUCUUUUAUCACUUCUUUCCUAUUUAUGGUUUUUAUUCGGGAGUGUAAUUUGCUAGAGAGGGUAGUAAAUUCCCAAAAUCAUUCUGAUAGGUGCACGUUGUGGACCCAAUGCUUGAGGAGUUUUGAAAAGGGGAACGAGGAAGGUAGAUUAGAAGUUUGUUUAGAUGGAUUUUUUUGUUAGUUAUGCUAGUUUAUCUAGUGAUAAUUUAGGGAAUGACUCGCAGAGUGAUAAUGACACUGACGUAGUGUCUUUUUUAUCAGGUCUGGCUAGAUCCGCCAUGGUGCUCUCAACUUCUAACCCAAGCUCUUUUUGUGAAGAGGAUCCAAGUAUUGAUUAAAUAUGUUUUGAAGAAGACUGAGUGCAAGCCUAUUGAUUAGGUAUGUACUUGUAUAACACUGGGAACUAGGUUGACGUGAUAUUAUAGUCGUAUAUGUCAGGAGAAAAGGUAUGCAUGUGGCAGUCUCGUGGGGUUGAUAAUGAGUAUUUAUAUUUUUCAUACUCUGAUUAUUGAGGAUUUGGUGGUUGGUAUUCCUUUUACCCUCCUUCAGGAUAACAUUUUAAAGAUUAUUAAUGUCGCCCCUUCCCAACUGCACCCGAACAAUUGAGCAUUUAUUUAAGGAUUUGAGAUUCACUAAUAGGGCCUAGAUAAUACGCCUACAACCAGUGUGUUCUUCUCAUUCUAUGAGACAAAAGGAGUGAACUUGUGUGAAUGGGUUUUUAUGAGCGCCAUCCUUAGGUGGGUUCUUCUUUCUCCAUAUACUUCCAACUAUAAUACCUUAAAGGAUAAAUUUAUCAGUGUUUAGGGUAAUUUCCAUUGUCACGAGGUCGUGUAUGAAGGGGAUAGAAUCCAUAUGUUUCUUCUUUAUUGGAUAGGCAAACCCCUUACUAUCAUGUGUUAUGACUCGGAUAAACAUAGUGAGAUGGAAAAGAAAAUGGUUAACCUUCUAGAACAGUUUUGUAUUAUGGGGUGUAAGACCUGCUAAGGUAUGAGGGAGGUCUUCUAGUGUUAAUGGGUUUUUUGGGUAAGAUUAUUUCUUGAUAUCUUACCCUUUUCUAAUACUUGUAGUUAGAUAUGCUCAUUUUUUUUGCUUUUUGCAAAAAGGGUGACUCCUUUUUUAGUAGCAAAGAGGAAAAAGAUAAUGGCAAAAGCUAACAUCCGUAGGAGAAAAGUAGAGCCCGUCUAUCAAAGUGGUCAUUUAGGCUUCCAAACUUUGACAACUAAGAAAAGAAAGAAUUUCACAAAGGGGAAAACUGUCAAGGUUGUUGCUUUGACUACUUACUAUCCACCUUCUGCCCCCAAGGUUGUUCUAACAUUGACCAUCGUCCUUGAUCCAGUCGGGGUGAUAAAGAGAUUAAUUUGGUCAUCUCCGUUGGAUUUACCAUGGCCUCAAAGAGGAACCGCCCUAGUUCCCAAUCCUGAAGUUGAGAUUCUUGAAGGUACAUGAAGGCUUUCAUGCAUUCCAGGCAUUCCAACCCUUAUCUUAUUGGCAUUGGGACCUCAUACUCCAAGGGAGAACUGAAUGUCUACUUAGGAUUGCUCUUACCUUGUAAGCCUGACUGACAAAGCUCUUGAUGAGGAAUUGUUGACCCUAGUGUAUUACACUCGAUAAGCCUUCGUCAUUCUAGCCAUUGGUGGAGCCAAUAACAUGAGAUGUUCUUUUAAAUGAUUGAUAUUGUAAGGAGAUACAACUGUUGGAAGACACUGUCUAUGAUCUGCCGUUUAAGUGUGAUAUGUACCUACAAGAAGUACAUAAGGCUUAUAUUUGUCUUACCAAAAUAGGUGACGUCCUGAGUGAUUUCAACCUCUUUGGGUCUUUAGUUGAUUAGGUAAAGUUACUUGCGAGAUAAGUGACAAAAAAGAUAAAUCUCUGGAUUCUGCUCAGGCUUUUCUAUCUGAUACAAAGGCAUAUCUUUCAACCGUUCAAUGAGAUCUAGAGAAUUUAUGCCUUGAGAAUAUCUUUUAGGCUAAAAAAUUGGAAAUAGCGAUUGACGUAGGCAUCGCGUCUUUCUCUGACUUUUUGAGAAUAAUUCAUCACAAGUGGGGCAUUUUCACUCUCUUUUAUGCAUUUUGAGGAAGAAAUCUCGGUCGGAUCAGAUAAUUCAAGAUGAAAAAAAUUUCUUAAUCAGAGAUUAGUCAUGCUCUUCUUCUUUUUUUUUGUUCCUGUUAUACUUGUAAAUGUAACAACCUGCAUUGGAGAACAUGUGUAUAUGAAUUUGAUAUGUGCAUAUCUACGUUACCUGAUUAAGGUGUACGUGUUAGAUCUCGGGUGUACUGUUUCAUGCUUGUCUUUAAAUUACGAGGUAUUUGAUCAUAUUUUGUUAGACUUCUCUUGGAUUGUGCCCGACCAUGGGUGGUACCCCUUCCCCACUUAGGUGUAAACAUGAUUCGAGGUUGACGUGUGGCAGACUCACCGCGACCUCUAUAGUGGCUAGUUACCAAGAAGGGGCAGGGCCAUCAUUGCAAAUUUAGUGGUUUUUCCACUUUCUGUGUGUGCGUGAUUUUCUUUGUGGGGGUUUGCUUGCUUUAAUAGUACUCAUGUGGCAUUUAUGAAAGCACCCUUAAGUCUUUAUGAUGGAGCUUCGUUUUCCUCGGUCGUACCCCAGACUCAUUGUUACCUUUCAGAGCAAAAAAAAAAAAGAUAUUUCAUAAGGAUGUUCUUAUUUCUUUAAAUUCAAAUAUCCUAAUACAUUGAGAUGAUGUAACUUACUUUUACAUAAAAUCAUUAACAUAAUAAAACCAUUAACAUAACCAUGUGGGAUUAGCACUGCUUAUCCGUUCCACCGCUUGUAGUUUGUUGGAAUCAGUCACUUUUUCUUAUCUGGAUGACGUAACCUGUUUUACAUGUGAGGGAAGAAUGCUCAUGUCCCUUGAUUGGCCGGUGAGCUUCGUUGAUCUUCAUAGCUUUGCAUUCCCCUUCCAUAUAAUAUUAUUGCAAGGCAUAGUAAAUUCCCUUAGGUCCAAUAAGGUCGACAAUUAUCAUUAUUGAUUCACCGUGAAGGUUGUGGAACUUCAGUUUGAGGUGAAUAAGAGAUGUUACGAAAUCUAAAGCUGCCACAAAAGGUAUGCCAAGGAUGUAUUUGUAGACGUUUUUGUAGGGAACCACCAGAAACUACGAGCCAAUAAUUCUAACAUCUUUUCUUCCCCCUCGGUAAUCAAUAACUCGUUGUACCCCUAGUGGCAGGUCGUUAUGCCAUUGAAUGCCUACAGACCAGAUCCUUCAUAAGGCCACAAGCUUUCUUCCUUUAGGCUCGUCUUCUCGAAAAUAUUUGAUUAAAUGAUAUCACAAGAUUUUCCACUGUUAAUUAGUAUUCGAUAGAUAUCAAAGUAUCCGACUAUGGUUAUUAUGACCAAUGGGAAGACAGCAUUCAGGAUUCUCCCAACCUUUUCACUAUCUCAGAAUCCAAGCAUCGAUCUUUUUGGGCCCUUGACUGAUGUGUUUAUGCCUUUCUUGUUGACGACCAUUAGCUCUAUGGACUUCCUUUUCAUCAUGCUAUUGGACGUGGUUUCGCUCGUGGGCAGCUUCCGUGAUAGCCGCAAUUUGUUAGAGCUUCCCUCCAUAUGUAUCCUUUUUUUGUUGCUCGCCUUUUUCUCUUUGAUCACGACAUCAACUAUCUUCUCUAGGGACUUGAUUUUCGUGUAAUAAUCAUGGUUCCUCUUAACAUAUUUGGUAUAAUCAAACAGAAGAACUCUCUUGAUUAAGCCCUUGAUUGUAUUCUUCGACUAAAUGCAGCCGUUAGAGGUGUGCUCGUUACUUUUGUGGAAACGAUAAUACCUUAAUUUAUCGGUCUAGGGAGAGCCCCUAAUUCGGUGUUAACACGCUCUUUAUAUAUUUACUCCUUUUGAGGUGUUGAGGGGAGUGUACUUGUCGAAUCGGUUGCGGGUUUCGCAAUUGCCUUCUUCCCAAUGUCGAUCAGACUCCUUUCUGGAUAACCGGUCGGAGCAUGUGUUCGUUGGUUCCUGGUUGUCUCCCAUAGAAAUAAGUUUGUCUUUAUAAUUAAUAAAGGGUUAAGCCAUACUCAAUAGCUCUUUUUGAUUGUGAUACUCCUUAUGACACAUUAUCUCUUUGAAAGAGUUAUCAUACUUCAAACCAUAUUAAAAAAUCCAGCAUUUUAGACUUCUCUCCAAAGUCUCCCAUUUCUAUGGCUACCUAUUGAAGUGGUUUAUAUAUGACUGCAGCUUUACUUCCUGCUCUGGGUAAUUCAUCUAAGGGUGGAUAUUGUCAUAGGUUGCCUCUUUCGGGUUGUGGAGUGGGCGGUAAAGUCCUCACACAAGUUGGUCCACGAAUCUACGAUUCCAUCAGGAAGAUAUUUGAACCAGAUCAUAAUUGAUAUAGUUAUAGUUAGCGCAAAGAGCUUGCACUUUCCCGCAUCAUCAACAUGAUAGUAAUUCAGAUGAUCGACAAUAUGUUUUGUACAUGCUCAUAUUGAUCUCCCUUUUUCGUAACUAUUCAUCUUUGGAGGUUUCUCUAGUGAUCUCGGUAUAUGGAUGUCGAGGAUACAAGAAGAAAAUUGAUGUUUUGUAUGGUCAUUAAUUAGAGGCUUAUCUACUUGUUCCUCAAGGGAGUGCGACUACCUCUGCCUACUUUAGGACUUAGAGGAGGAGUUUGGGGUCUUUGGCUUCUCUGAUGGCUCGAAGAUCUUGGAGCUACAUCCCAGCAAGAUGUGGUCGAUUUAGAGAUGACAGUAUGACUCCUUUGGGAGGUGUCCCCUUUCAUUGUAUUACUCUUCGGAUUUGUGUUAUGCAGGUUUUUUCUUCGAGAAUAAGUAACCUUUCCUUCAUUGUCUGCGGUUUCUAUUAUCGAACCAUGUUCUAAACAUUGUUUAUUAGUUUGUUAGUGUCUUGGAAUCUGAGGUUAACCUACAACCAUUGGAAAUCAUGUAAUGCCUAUAAUAUAUGUAUUAUUUAUGGCUCUGUAGGUCCAUGUGAUGGUUCACUUCGCUGAAAUUGUGGAGCAUAACAUACAAACGAGAAAUGUUGAACAAGAUAUUGAUGUGGUGCGGAUGGAACAUUCAUGAUUACUUAAUUGCUACGAUUUUAAGGAGGAGAAAGUGGUGGAUCUAUCACAGUUCGAGUGGUUGCAUCUCCCUCACAUUGUGCAAUUGAGCAAGUAGCUCUGAAACUUGUCGUUGUUGAUUCACCUAGAUGGAGAUCUGAGAAGCGGUGUUGAUCUUCGAUAUGAGCGGAUCAAGAACAGAGAUUUAUGGUUUAGAUUAAGGAAAUAUUAAUCUCUAGGUUAAAGAAACUUUGAUUUGGUGAAUCGAGAGAUGAACGUUCAAACAUGGAAAACACAAGAAUCAGAUGUUGAUUCCCACAGAUGGCACCAUUGUUAUGUGUAGGAAUCAGAAUUGAUCGAUGACUAGUGGAUAUGAAUUUCAAUAGAAGACUUAAGCUUCUGAUGAAAUGGGAUAGGGGUUGACCUACAAGAUUAUCACUCUAACUCUCAAGUCAGUAUGAAAGUAAUACAAGUGAAUGGAAUUUGAAUUCAAAAUGUACUUGGGAAAUGACAUGUUUCCCCCUUAUAUAGUAGGAAGGUUUUAACCUCUUGUUGAUCUAUUGGCGUUAGAUACAGAGAUCAAUUUGAUUGAUCAUGGAUUGGAAUCAACUUCUUUCUUGAGUAGGAUGGCACACCUGCUCUACACACUGAUCGGUGAAUUUCUCUAUUUCUCUGAAUCGUAAUUGUUAGGUCCUCAAGUCGUCCCAGAAUGUCACGCUUCAACCUAAAAUCACUAUGGACCUUAGAUGUGGAGAUGAGUACUUUAUUGCAAAUCAAACAUUGUCCGUAACAGGAUGACCAUAAAGAUGAUCCAUGGGUACUCCACAAAUCAUUAUGAGGGAUAUGAGUGACCUUGACGGAAUUUUCUCAUCCUGCGUAACAUGACGUAUGUCUAAGAGUCCACUUUGAAUUGGACAAGGGUUACACGGUCCAUGCCCUGUGUUUAAUAUAUACAUGAGAUAAAAAGGACAAUUAUAUACAUAAACAUUAUCACAUAAAGGUUUUGUCAUAUCACAUGACAUUUUCAUGAUUUGUAAAGCACUAAUGUGUUGCUAGAUACUAUAACACCCCAGUUUUUGAGUUAUUAUUUUAAUUAAUUUAUUUGUAUUUUAAUUUAUGUAUUAUGUGUGAUAUUUGAAUUGAUUUAGGGGUGUGUGACCUUGAGGUGGGGGUGUAGAGAGUAAGUAGAGGUUGGUGGAGUUUAUUUAAUAAUUAUAAUUAUUUAAAUAAUUAAAAUAAUAGUAUUUUAUGGGAUUUAGUUAAUUAAAUAAGACUUUGGAGAGUUUGAGUUCAAUUUGUGAAUUCAGAGAAAUAUAUGGGAGGAAUGAGUAAGAGUAAUUGUUAGUUAGGGAGAGAAUUAUACUUAUGACUCGAUUACCUUAAUUAUAUAAGUUUAAGAGAUAGCCUAGGAGAGGGUUUUUUUUAUCAGUACGUUAAAAGAGGAUUAGAGACACAAGGGAGAUAGAAGGUUAGAGCUUUGGAGAGAAGGGAGGAACAAUUAAAGAUCGGAAUUUUUGCUAUUACUGCUAGGAAAACCAGGUAAGGGGGAGAAUUGAUUCAAUAAUGGGUACAUGCUUUAGGGGUAGAAUGGAGGAGUCCUUAACCCUUGUUAGGAUUCUUUAAUUCUUGAUAAAAUUCUGAUUUUGUGAUGAUUGAGUUGAUGUUUAUGUUGUUAUUGAUAUUAAAUUCAUACAUUAUGAUAUGUAUGAAAUUAUACUUUUGAGUUGUGGAUGAAAGUUCACCAUUGUUGUUAUUUUGAAGGUUGGGGAAUGACAUGAUUUUAUGAAAUUUAUGAACUAAAUGUGUUGAUUUGAUGAAAUUAGGUAUUUUGAUGAACAUAUAAUAUGUGGGUACUAUUUUUUCAAUCGAUUUUGGGUGAUUGGGUUGAGAAUUGGGAGUUUUGUCUUGAACUCCCUUGAAUAAGGCGAUAUUCUGAAAAUCUCGGGGGCUGACGGACGUCACCAUUGUGACGGGUAACCCGUCAUGUUGCCCAAGCUUGUCUUUCAAGAUGGUCAUCACUUGAGUGAGGGUCUGGAUGUUGGGGUCAGUGACGGGCGUCACUACUAUGAUGGGUAACCUGUCAUGGGUCUGUAGUAGGUGUAGAUACUUGUGUUAAUGAUAUAAAAAUGCAGAUUUCAAUUUUUCGACUUUAUGGAUGUUUUAGGGUACCGUUGUACUCUGUUAGUUGAUGUUUUAAAUGAUGUUUUGUAUGAUUUAAUGAUUAAACAUGAUUUUUAUUGAAUUCAUGAAGUAAUUGAUGAAAUAUGGAUAUGUUCAUAUGUGAUUAUGAUGUUGUGAUAAUUUCUAGAAGUUGUGGAAAGCGAAGAAGAAUGGAGAUCCUUCAAGAGUGGAAGCGAUUAAAGAUCAACGGAAUUCCGAACUUUUUGUAAUCUGUGAAAAUAUUUAUUUGUUUUAUUUUUCCUUACAGUGAAUUUUACCAAACCCAAACUCUUACUUUUGUUCAAUUGAGUGACUGUUUACUCUUAUAUUGCUGCGCAAUCCACGAGAUCGAUCUUUGGGAAACAUCCCUCUUAUUACUACAUCGGAAAAAAUAGUACAAUUGCUAUUUUUCCGAUCAAGUUUUUGGCGCCGUUGUCAGGGAUUGUCAAAUAUAAGUUUAAAAUUUUCUCAAUUGAAAUUUUGUUGCUCUACAACUAAAAUUUAUUUUCCGUAUUUUGAAUAUUUUAUUUCGAUUAUAUCAACUAAUUUGUGUCUGAAAUUUGUAUGCGAGGCAAGGCCUCAGCUGAUUUUCCUUUUGAUGCAGAAAUCGAGAGAACCUUGCGGGCAAGACUCAAACAAGAUCGAUUAGCCAAAUUGAAUCAGACGAAGAACAACUUUCCAUCCAUUCAAGCUCAGAUUCAGGUUCUGAUAGAGAGAUCGAAACUAUGGCUGAUGUUCCACCGCCACCAGAAAGACUGUUGGGAGACUACGGAGGUGCCAAUGCACAAACCGACAGAUUAACUAUUGUCAACCAACCAGUGAACGUGGCUAAUUUCCAGCUGCACCCGAGUACCAUUAAUCAGCUUGAAAGGAAGCAUUUUACUAGAAAAGUGAAUGAAGAUGUAAACAAGCAUUUGCAGGUUUCUGACCAUGAGCAACACUCUGAAAAUUGAUGGUCACACUGAAGAAUCCAAGAAAUUGAGAAUGUUCCUGUUUACCUUAGCGGAAGAAGUUGAAGAAUGGUUUUAUUCUUUACCUUCCGGUAGCAUCACAACUUGGGAAGAAAUGGAAAAAGCCUUCUUGAAUGAGUAUUUUCUUGCAUCGGUAUUUCUGCGGAAGAGGUAUGAAAUUCUGAAUUUUAAGCAGAAGGACGGGGAAACUUGGGGAAACGCCUACAAGAGAUUCAAGAGAGUCCUGGUAUCCUGCGCAACUCAUAAUAUGGAUGCAACUAAAUAAAUGCAAAUGUUUGUGAAUGGUCUUAAAAUAAAGACCAAACAGCUGAUUGAUACUACAAUCUGUGGUUCCACAAAUUUUUCAACAGCCACCGGUAUCAAGAAGAUCAUUAAAGCUAUUGCUGCUAAUGAGCACAUGAAGUUGUAUGCUAUGUGUCAAAGUAAACCAGAAGGGGUUAUAGAUUUAAAGCUGGAAACUACUAAAAUUUGUAUUGAAGAUACUAUAGCUGCUGAAAUUGAGAAGAAGCUGAAGGCGAUGUGUAAGACCCUAAUUUUGACCCUAAGAUCCCUCAUGGCAUUAUAUCAUUGCUCAUUGCAUUGCCUCAAGGAUCAUAGCAUGUUUGAAACCACCAAGCAUGCUUGUAUUGUAUAUUAUUGUUUUUCUUAUUUGUUUACUAACCAAAAGCACAAAAAUAUAUCACUAACUCUUUUUGUUUUGAAGCUUAAGUAAUCAUGUGCUCCCAUGCUCCUAGGAGGCUCCUAAGCUCAAUGAAGUGUCUAGAUGAGUUUCGAAGAGCUUAAUGUUUAUGUUCAUUUUUGCGUUUCACUUUGAAACUUCAUGUGCAAGCUUAUGCAGCCCCUUGUGCACGUCCAAAUCAAUUACAUAUGAGUUCAGCAUGGAUUUGCAUUCACUUUUGGGCCUCACAUGCGCCUGUACAGACCCAUGCAUAGAGGAUCCAAAUUUCAUGUACACGAGCCAAGCAUUGCCUUGCAUCCAUUCCAGCUAUAAAUAGAAGCUCAUUCUCAUUCAAAUGGUAACCACAAGGAGAUCUGAAACGCUGCUGAAUUGAAAACCAAACCCUCACCUAAAGGAAUUUUCAAUUUUCAAUUUCAAGCUUGAAUUUCAACAUCAUUAGUUGAUCUUCACAUCUCAAUUCCUUAACCUUACAUCAUCAUCA
RNAcentral lists this long non-coding RNA (50274 nucleotides) under Lathyrus oleraceus (garden pea). RNAcentral's name for it is "Pisum sativum (pea) long non-coding RNA (PSAT_LNC030988)". Lineage: Eukaryota; Viridiplantae; Streptophyta; Magnoliopsida; Fabales; Fabaceae. The record is from RNAcentral.